UGCUUGUCAGGUUGCAACAGAAGAGUGAGAAUGAUGGCUGAUGGAGAAUUUAAAGUGCUGUUGGAAUCCUUUAUCAACAUUUCUUCCACUUAAUAAAAUUGCAAUUUGGCAUUUGAACUCAUGUCCUUCCAUAGCCUGCAUGUUUCUAAGUGAUGAUGUAGACUUCUUUUCUGGUUCUUCUUAUUUAAAUGAGUAUGGUUCACCUGUGUAUUCUUAGGAAAAAAAACUCUUUUUGGCUAAAUUUGUUGGUGAAAGAUUGUUCAUAGUUCAAGUGCUCCCCUUCUGAUACAUUAUCUGAACCAGGCGAGGGGGUGGCAAAAUAAGUGCUUGUGGAGGCAAUGGUUUGGCUGGCGGAGGUGGAGGACGUGUUUCCAUCGAUGUUUUCAGCAGGCAUGAUGAUGCCCAAAUCUUUGUUCAUGGUAAUUUACUUGGUUUUGUUUUGCGUUAGUGACUGCACAUUUUUAAACGGGCUACCUGUGUUUGAAUCAUUAUAUUGAAGUUAUUGACCCAUUUCUCUGCCACCGUCCUCCCUACCUUAUACAAUCUUACUUCCGGUCUGUUAUUCUAUAAGGCAGUUUAUGAGGUUAAGCUCUAAGUAUCAGUAAUCCGGUAUUGCCCAUAAUAGUUGGUAAACGGAGAGUACAUGAUCUUUUCAAGCUUCUUGAUCUACUGUUUUUAAAUUUGCCUUUUUCUUGAUCUACUAUUACUACUACUAUUAUGGUUACCAAUACCCUUUCACUUCCUCCUUGUGGUGCCCCUUGCUGGGUUUCAUCACUAGUUUAUCCCAAGUUUCUUGGGACUAAUUGGAUUUGUUGUUGUUGUUCUUGUACAGGGGGAAAGAGUUCAGGAUGCUUGGACAAUGCAGGAGCAGCUGGAACUCUUUAUGAAGAAGUGCCUAAGAGUAUUACUGUUAGCAAUGAUAACUUGAGCACACAAACUGAUACAGUUUUUCUAGAUCCCCCAUAUGAGCCACUCUGGACAAAUGUUCUUAUAAAAAAUCAUGCCAAAGUUUCUCUUCCCUUACGCUGGAGUCGUAUUCAGGUUGGAGGCUUACACCAUUAUCUUUAUCGAUAGUGUAGCCAAUACAAUUUUGCUGCAAGCAUUGCACUUGACAGGUCUUGGCUUUGUUUGUCCUUGAGUCUUUCAUAUCCAGCUAGGGGGCUUAUCUGUACUUUUCGUAACAAUUUAAACCACAAUAAUAUUCCCUCCAAUCGCAAAAAUUGGCAUUCUGGACAUGUACAUGAUCCCCAAAACAUAACAUUGACCAUCAUUUUCUACUAAAAUUAUAUGUUUAGAACAAAGAAAAGAAUGAUCUUGUGAAAGUUCUUGAGAUAUUUUACAAAUCUUUAUAUACUACCUCUGAUCAUAUUUAGAUGAUGUCUUGGACAGCAAAAAGCAACUAAUUACAAGUCAAGUUGUCCAAAAUGUCAUAUAAUUAUGGCCAGAGGUAGUACUAUUUUUCAUUUGACAGAUGUAAAUACAUAUUAAAAUAGUGAGAAGGUUGAACCUUUGAGUGCAUGCUCUCCAAAGUUUUUUUUUGGUGGCUGAAGGGAGUACAUCUGUAUGAGUUAGUGUUGCAUAUAUAACAAGUAGAUAAUGCACAUUGUCAUUGCUGGCUGGUGUGCUUGUUUUCUUUUCGAAAUAAGCAAAGUAUUACUGGUUGUUAGUGCGGUAUAAUUGGGUGAAAUGUGUUCUGAAUAUCAGUGGAUUUAUUAUUUCACUAAAUGUUUCUUCCCUUCUAUAUUAUCCUUUCUUAAUUGCUUUCUAUUUUCAGGCUCAAGGACAGAUUCUUUUAGCUGGUGCUACUCUAACUUUUGGCCUGACACAUUAUCCGUAUUCAGAAUUUGAGCUGUUGGCUGAGGAACUUCUUAUGAGUGAUUCCACAAUCAAGGUUCUUAUUUACUUUUGUUUCUCUGUUAUUUGCUGCACGUGUGGCAAUUAAUAUUCUGUAUGCUGUACUAACUCCAUUUUCAAUCAAAUUCAGGUCUUUGGUGCUUUACGAAUGUCAGUAAAAAUGCUCCUUAUGUGGAACUCGAGAAUGACUAUUGAUGGUGACAGAGAAUCAGGAGUAGCAACUUCACUACUAGAAGGUAGCAAUUUGAUAGUCCUGAAGGUAUGUUGGCAACUGUAAGGUGUGUUACAUCCGUUUCUGUCUGCCUUUACUGUAUGUGAUAUUUUUGUUCACAUGCUUGUCAGGAAUCAUCUGUGAUACAUUCAAAUGCUAAUCUUGGGAUUCAUGGUCAAGGCGUUCUAAAUUUAUCUGGUCAAGGAGAUACAAUAGAGGCACAACGCCUUAUAUUAUCACUGUUUUACAACAUAGUGGUAUGUUGAAUGCUUUUAGGUUUUGUUCAUUCACAAUCUAUCUGAAAUUAUUUUAUUUGUAUCAUGUUGCAUGCCCAUUGUGCCUUUCUUAGCACAUUUCUAUUGGUUUCUGAAGAGGUUGGAUAGUUUUUCUAUCUUUGACGUUAUUUAAAAUAAAAUUUGCCCUGUUACAAAGCUUCUGUCUGGAGACUUGAUCAUUGGUUUCCAUCCUUUUUUAUGCCAUUUUGCUGUUUCUCUUUUAGCCUGUGGUAUUCUUUGCUCUGGUAUUUCUUAUCUGAGUUCAAGAUGUUGAAUUUAGAUGGUUCAGGGUUUAAAAUUCUCCCGAGAGAAUCAUGUUGCUUUUCAUAACUGAAGCAAUCAAAAUUCUGUGUCUUGCUUUCUUUGGAUGGUGUGUGCUCGACUGCUGGUACAGUCAUAAUACGGGCAACACAGUUUUUGAUAUUUGUUUAACUGGUCCAGUUCAAUACUUCAUUGUUGCAGUUAGUAGAUUGUCUGAUGUCUGUUAGCCAUUUGAAGAAGAUUUAGUAAUUGAUAAGUAAUUUUUUUUUAGGUUGGACCUGGAGCUGUUCUAAGGGGCCCUCUUAUAAAUGGAAGUAUUGGCGAGAUGUAAUUUACCACCUUCAGAUUUGGUGUUAAUUGCUUUUUUUUAAUUGUUUUCCUCAUUGGUCAAUUGUUAAUAAGAUUUUGUGGCAACACCAGGGCACCAAAGCUGAACUGUGAAGAUGAGAGUUGCCCUAUGGAAAUUUUUCAUCCACCUGAGGAUUGCAACUUGAACUCUUCAUUGUCUUUUACUUUACAGGUGUGCUUUAAUUCUCCUAAUCUGUAGAGUCUCCCAAGCUGUAGCGUCUCCCAAGUUGUGAUGUUUUAUCUACUUAUUUUAGAGUAGAAUGCCUUUGCGGUAUUGUCCCAUGGUGUCAUCCAGGUCUCUGAACUCUAAAAAUAUAAAAUGCAUAUUUGGGUCUCCAAACUUGUAAGUGUGCCAUGCAAGGUCCAUAUCCCACUAACCAAAAUGAACCUUCCUAUGUUCAUGCUGAUUUGAGUAUUUGACAACUCUUGAGGCAUGCCAAAUUGGCAAGUUCAUGUUGGUUAGGAAGAUUUUGACCUUGAGUGGUUCAUUUAACAAGUUUAGGGACUCAAAUAUGCAUUUAACUUAAGGCCUACUUUUUGGCAGCUCCCGCUACUCCACAUCAAAUCAAGAUUUUGUAUGCUAAUUAAAUUUCUGUUUUUUAGUCUAAAGUAUAAACAAAUUGCUUUGCCCAAACAUCCUUGACGUUCCCCCAGCUUAACCUCCAUGGAUUCUUGGAGCUAGAGGUACCCAGCUCCAAGAGGAGCUGGAGCUCUGCCAAACAGGACCUAAGGGUUUAGGGACCUGGAUGACACCGUGGGAUAAGCUUGAGGACUACUGGUGCAUUUCACUCUUCAUUUGGUUUCCUAAAUUUCCUCUCUUUUUUGUGAGGAUAUUGCCUUUUAGUUUUACUUGUAAUCCAUGGUGGCUUUUGGCAUGCAGAUAUGCCGCGUUGAAGAUAUUGAUGUUUCCGGCCUUGUGCAAGGAACUGUUAUUAAUUUUAACAGAGCAAGAAGUGUCACUGUGCAGACAUCUGGGACCAUAAGUGCAACAGGAUUAGGUAUCCUAUCAUUGUUUUGUUGGUCUGAGAACCAGAAAGUUAGGAUAUCAUGUUCUGUUGACCACCUAGCAUGCACAAUGCCAUAAGCCAGAUAACAUACUUUUGCUAUAGACAAGUUUGGAAAAGUUCCAUGAUAAGAUUUUCAGUUACUUGGUUAUUGUCACUUAUCAUAAUCUGCUUACUUAUUUGAGUCUGUACUGCAUUAUGGGCCUUAAAUUAGAGGAUGCCUGUCUAUUCUCUCCACACUUUGUUAUACUAUAAUUAAAUAUUUACGUAGGCAUUUUGAAUAGCUACAUUGGCUGUGCUAUAGUUUUUUUUAAAAAAAAUUAGACCCGCAUAUAUCCAAUGAUUCAGUUAAGGUGCUGAAUGGUCUUUACUACCAGUAGUCCCUGCAGAUUAUAUAGGUAUACUUCAUGACAGGUCCUACAACUUAGUACUUUCACUCUUGCGUUAAUUUUUCAUUAUUAAACACCGGGGUUUCCAAAAGGUAAUUCUUUUCAAUAAGUAGGUUUAAUGUACUAGAUUUGACUGACAAUCUAACAUCAAUCAAGCACACAAUCCUUGAACUGUUCAAGGAUAACAUAAUUCUUAAAGUUGUAUCAGACUAUGGUUGUUUUGCUUGUGUUGCUUUCAGUUUACUUAAUGAAAUAUUGAUUAUUUUGUUAAUAUUUCAAACUUUUUGUAGCAAACUAUGCAUGGUCCAAAUUUCGCAGUUAUGCACUGAAAUAUUCCCUCUAUUGUUUUUUGUUAAUGUGUUCGUUUUUGCUUGUCUUGUAAUUUCAAGGAAUUUUAGUGGGAUUAAUCGCCGAAUAUAUUGUUAUGAAUAAUGCUUGUAUUGAAUCGUAGCUCCAUGGGGGCUAUUUUUUAAAUGUAUUUUUUUUUGCAAGCCUUGCAGUCCUAAAGAUCUUUUAUGAGACUAAUCACUGAUUAUAUUGUGAUAAAUAGCGCUUCUAUUGAACUACAAUUUCAUGACUAUUGCCCAUUCAUGACCAGUUGGGUCCACAUGUCAGCAACAUAUUCAUCAAAGUUGUCAUGUGGGCGAGCUGGCCAUGGAUUCAGUAGGUUUGUGAAAUUUGCUCUGUAUAAGUAUGAAUAAUGAACUAACCUUGUUUUGUGGCUGUCUGAUCUGAGAUAAGUCCAGCAGUUUCCCUUUCCCAAUCCCCUUUCCCUAUAUUCUGCCAUGAAGGGGGAUCAAGGGGAAAGAUGAUGCUCCACCAGAUCCACUUUCCCUUCUUUUGUCACUGCUUGACCCACUGAGAAGGAAAAAAUAGAUUGACCCACUGACAGGAUAUCAGGAGAUAUUGGGGAUGAGGUUGUUGGGGAACUGUUGCAGCACCCAUCCCCUAUAUGCUGAAAUGGUUACUGGGGAGUUCUCUCUAACAAGUUAUUGGGGAUUGGUGAAAGGGGGAUGCUCUAAGCUAGCUUAAUUCAAUAUCUACUGGCUGAGGGAUAUGGUUGAAUAGAUUAUUGGAAUUUGAUGCAUACAUGUAUUGCAGUUUAGUGGUUCUUUUUCUUUAUUCACAUAACUUUUGCCAGCUAUUUUGGAAUUUAAGUUCCUUCCGUUUCCAGGCUGCCAGGGUGGAAUUGGACAAGGGAAAAUGUUAAGCAGUGGGAUUAGUGGUGGGGGUGGGCAUGGUGGUAAAGGCGGUGAUGGCAUUUACAGUGGUGAUCAUGCAGAGGGUGGACCUGCAUAUGGUCAUGCUGAUUUACCUUGUGAACUUGGCAGCGGCAGCGGCAAUGUCAGUGCAUCUUCAACGGCUGGUGGUGGUAUAAUAGGUAUCAAAUAUUGUAUAUAUAUCAUUUUUGCCCUCUGUUCAGUCAUCGUACCUCUUAAUAGCACUGCUAUUGUGCAAUUUUUUAGUGAUGGGUUCUCUGGAGCAAUCUCUGCCAAACCUCUCCCUUUCUGGCUCAAUUGAGGCAAAUGGUGGUAGUUUUACUGGCUUGGCAUCUCAUGCCACAAUUGGAGGACCUGGUGGUGGUUCUGGUGGUACAAUUCUUCUUUUUGUGCGGACUUUACUCCUAAAGGAGGACUCUGUACUCUCAAGUGUCGGUGGGAUUGGAAACAAUGGCAGUGGUGGAGGUGGAGGGGGUCGGAUUCACUUUCACUGGUCCGAUAUUCCCACUGGAGAUGAUUAUGUUCCUUUUGCAACUGUUAAGGGAACAAUACUUACAAGGUGUGUUUAAUUCUGAUGCAGUCUGUCAGCCCCUUCUUGUUUUGAAUUAUGAAGGCAUGUUUAGUACAGUUUCAGUAUUUAUAGAAUCAUAGGAUAGUGAGACUGGGAGGGAACAGGAAGGCAGAAUCAUUGUUCACUUUUAAGUUGAUUUUUCAGUCCUUUGGUUUUUCACCUCCAGUAUAAAUCUAUCAUUUUGCUUUCUCUUGUUAUUGCCUUUUUCAUCCAUUCCACAUCCUAGUAUCUGCCUUCUUUUCAUUUUUGUUUUGAACACCUGGGCUCCAUAAAUUUUGGAGUAUGUGCUUUCAUCGACUCCAGUUAGCAUGUGAGGUAAAUCCUGCAUGUUCGAGAAAAAAUCAACUGUGGUUGAGAGGCCGCCUGCCCUGGCUUGAACUGCAAUGCUUGUAGGUCAUGUGAGUACCUCCCUGAGGCCUUGUUUGGUUUGAAGGGGAUUGGGAGGGAUUAAAUCCCCUACAAGUCAAAAUCCCCCUCAAUCCCCUUGUGAAGGGGAUUAACCGAACAAGGCCUGAAGGGUUUGGUUCCCCCUGCUCUUAAGAUAAAGCCAGGGAGUGUCUUCUCCCAGUCCCAGUGAUCUCUUUUGAAUCUGUGUUUUUUUAUUGUAUUUUAUUGUUAAAAAUGUUGAUGCCUUAAGGGCCUUCAAUCUUUUUUUCCUCGUAUCGCUAAAUUGCUGAGCUGACCAUUUGUUUCUGUUAUAGAGGAGGAGUCAGUGAAGGCCAUGGUUUUCCUGGUGAGAAUGGAACAGUCACAGGAAAGGAUUGCCCAAAAGGUCUUUAUGGAACAUUUUGCAAGGUAACUUGUGAGACAUCAGAUGUGCUGCCUUACCUCCUUUGAGCCAAAUCAUAUAAUGUGUUACAUUCAGAAGAUUGGUUCCCUGUUUUAGUUUCUUGUGUAUCAGGGACACAAUCCAAUGUAUGGCAAGCUUUUGUGCUUUGCUAUUUUUUAAUAUAACUUGGAGAAUGGCCAUAGCUUUGUGGUGAGAUAGCUCAGUAGGUUAGUGUCAUUGAGACUGCUGUUAUUAUUAUUACUAAUACCUCUUUUUGCUUUUUCUGUCCCUUUUCUGUGACUCUUGUUGGGUUUCAUCUCUAGCCAAAAUGGUCUUGUUAACUAAAAGGCCGUGUUGUAGUUUACUAUCCAUAUUUGUACAAUCAUGUCAUGAACAUACACUUAUCAACCUGGCAGAAACCCUCGAUUAUACCUCUAGUUUUUAGUUUAUCUGGCUUGUGCUACUUCUACUUACACUGUCACAAUGCUUUCCGUGGCAAAAUGCAGGAAUGUCCUUCAGGAACAUACAAGAAUAUUACUGGAUCAUCUAAGUCCUUGUGCUCACCAUGCCCUCCAAAUGAGCUACCUCGCCGUGCUGUAUACAUAAGCGUCCGAGGUAGUUCAUGCUAUGUUUUCUGCCUGUUUGAGAAACAUUAAUCUAAACUGCAGAUCGAGCUCAAGUCUUAUAAGUAGCAGACCAGAACUAUAUCCUUUUGAUUUCUGACAUACAUAUAUCUGUGGAGUCUGUUUUUCUAAAUUUUCUGUAGUGUCACAGGGAUUUUUUUUCAUGCACUUCUUGUCUUGUAGGCGUGCCUGUAAAGAAACCUUCGAAUGGUGUCCUCCGCUUUUCUUAAAUCAUGUUAGAUAAUAUGAAAUGGUGUUAGGCUGGGCCUCACUUGUAUAUAUUUUUUGUUCUUGUGUGUGGUUAUUUCUGGUUAUUUUGAUUCCAUUUCGAAUUUUGCUGUUUCAGAACCUUUUCGUCAACUAUGAAAGAUUUGUCAGUUUGCCUGAGUGUUCUAAACUUAGCAAUAUGUUUUUGACAGGAGGUGUUGCUGAAACCCCAUGCCCAUACAAAUGUGUGUCUGAUAGAUAUCGCAUGCCUCACUGUUUUACUGCUCUUGAAGAGCUGAUAUAUACGUUUGGUGGACCUUGGUUGUUUGGCCUGCUUCUUUCUGGCCUUCUUGUCUUAUUAGCUCUUGUUUUGAGUAUUGCUCGGAUGAAGUUUGUUGGUACUGAUGAGUUGCCUGGGCCAGCACCGACUCAGCACAGUUCCCAAAUUGAUCACUCUUUUCCCUUCCUUGAAUCACUGAACGAGGUUGUGAAAUUCAUUCUGUCCGACUGAUUCAAUACCUUAUUAAGCUGUGGUGCGAUCAUUUUCAGUGUCACUGAAUUUCUGCUAAUGGGGCAGGUAUUGGAAACAAACAGGGCAGAAGAAUCUCACUGUCAUGUGCACAGGAUGUAUUUCAUGGGCCCAAACACCUUCAGUGAGCCUUGGCAUCUCCCACACACCCCACCAGAGCAAAUUUCAGAGAUUGUGUAUGUGUGCCCAUCCUCUUUUCAAGUUCUACCCGUUUGUUGUUUGUUUUCAAUUCUUUACUUAUUUCUUUCUUGUAUCCAAGUUUUACCUGAUCCCUGAAUGUCCUCUUUGACUCUUUUUUUCAGGUAUGAGGAUGCAUUUAACAAAUUUGUUGAUGAGAUAAAUGCUCUUGCAGCCUAUCAAUGGUGGGAGGGUUCAGUUUAUAGUAUUCUCUGUAUACUUUCAUAUCCCCUGGCAUGGUCCUGGCAACAGUGGCGCAGGAGAAAGAAAUUACAGAAACUAUGUGAAUUUGUUCGAUCCGAAUAUGAUCAUUCAUGCUUACGGUCCUGCCGUUCACGUGCACUUUAUGAAGGGCUGAAGGUAUAUAUUGUUUUCUGCUUUAUUUGCAGAUCUUUUCCAAUAUUUCAAUUUCAUGGUUGCAUUAUGCCUGGAAAAAAUUGCAACUGUGUGUGGUUGUGCAUUACCUGCAACUUAAUUAGUAUCAAAAAGCAUAGGUUGCAUUCUUACUCUUGCCGAUUGUCAUACGGGUGCCUGUCUCAUCAUGGAUAGAUAAUUUCUGAUUUUCAAAUUUGUAGGUAGCUGCUACUCCAGAUUUAAUGCUGGGUUAUUUAGAUUUCUUCCUUGGUGGCGAUGAGAAAAGGACUGAUCUUCCCCCUCGACUUCAUCAAAGGUUUCCAAUGUCCCUCAUCUUUGGAGGUGAUGGAAGUUAUAUGGCUCCAUUUUCACUUCAUAGUGACAGAGUGGUUACAAGUCUUAUAAGUCAGGUUGAUUCUGAAACAUUUCAGAUUGUACUGAAUUGCUGAAUUAAACCAAUUAUUCUCUUAACUUAUUGAUAUCUUUUAUAGGCUGUACCAUCGUCAAUAUGGCAUCGUCUUGUAGCUGGAUUGAAUGCCCAGUUGCGUUUGGUUCGUCGUGGAAAUCUAAACACAACAUUUCUUCCUGUGCUCAAAUGGCUUGAAACUCACGCAAAUCCUGCAUUGAACACGUACCAUGUGCGUGUUGACCUUGCAUGGUUCCAAACUACAGCAUUAGGUUACUGUCAGUUUGGUCUUGUUCUUCAUGCUGUGGGGGGACCGGUGGCUGCUGAACUUCAAGGUGACUCUGUAAUUAUAACCGAGCAGCAUUCAGUGUGAGUCAUUUCUUACCUGCCUGAGCAGUUGUAUUCUUUCCCUCUGAUUGACAUCUGUCCCUAAUCACUUCCCCUAUAUCGUACAGAAACCAGAAUACAUAUGCUGAUUCUCAGUUGAGCCACUCAAGGAUCAACGAUGCUCUUUUGUGUAAAAGGAUAACUGGCACCGUUCUCAAUGUUGAAAACUUAAAGAUGCUCAAAGACAGGAGAGAUUUGUUUUACCCUCUCUCUCUUAUCUUGCACAAUACAAAACCAGUUGGACAUCAGGUGACACUGCCAUUUUCACAGAUAUAGUAACUUAGCUAUAGUGUGCAUAUGACGAGACUUGCUGCAUCUUGCACUCACCAUGGUUCUUUUGCUUUGAACUGCAGGACCUCGUUGGCCUAGUCAUCUCAAUAUUGCUUCUUGCAGAUUUCAGCUUAGUCUUGCUUACUUUCCUCCAACUAUAUUCAUAUUCCAUGGUCGAUGUUUUAUUAGUCUUGUUCAUUCUUCCUCUUGGGAUACUGGCACCGUUUCCCGCUGGGAUAAAUGCUCUUUUUAGUCAUGGACCGCGGCGGUCAGCUGGCCUUGCUCGUGUGUAUGCCUUAUGGAAUAUUACAUCACUGGUCAAUGUUGUAAGUAUUCAUCCAUCCUUGCCUGCAUCUGGAUUUUUCUUUUACAAGCUCAUCAAGUUGUUUAGGUUCAGAAUCAUGGCAGUUAUGUAGUAUCAUUGCUAUCGGCUAUAACAUUUAUUGGGAUUACAUAUUGCCAUUAAGAAUUCAAGCAUGCACCAUCUGACCAUGAUGUACUUUUUACAUAAACAGAAGAUAGAGCAUGAGCACACAGAACAUUAUUCCUACCCCCAGCUUAUCAUGUAAAACUCAGCAGUAGACAGUAGUGCCCUUUUUUUCCAGUGGUUUGUCCGGAGAGAAAAGAUGCUGAGAGAACAUGUGAUCCAGUUGGGUUUUUUUUUUGAACUUUUGAUGAUCUCCCCCAUUUGAAUAAUAUUUGCAAUUACUAUGCAUGUGUAUGUUGUACAUUUUUCAUGUCGAGGGUGCCUACUGACUUUCUUCAGAGUAGCUAGUUAAGUACAGUACCAUGUUUAACCUACAAGUGCACAUUGCUCGCAGGCUGUGGCUUUUGUAUGUGGUUUUCUGCAUUAUAAGUCAUCAAACAAGAAACAUUCAAGCAUGCAGCCAUGGAAUUUGGGCGGGUAAGCAUCUUUUUCCUUCCUGCUAAGAGGUGGCAACUGAACGCCAUUCAUACCUGAAUAACCUUUGACCUAAGAACCUUAACCUCGAAACUCUUGGCAGGGAUGAAACCAGCUGGUGGCUAUUCCCAACAGGACUUGUGCUAUGCAAAUGCAUUCAAGCAAGGCUUGUUGAUUGGCAUGUAUCAAUCUUAGAGAUCCAGGACCGCGCAGUUUAUAGCAAUGACCCAACAAUAUUUUGGCAGUGACAGCAUUUUGGAUCACAGGAGUGCUCAUGAUGGGAGCUUUACACAACUCAAGUUUUUUGGGAGUUGAUGAAAAGAAGACUAGGAAGAGUCCGUUCUUUGUCGGCCAGUCAGGGGAAGCAUGUACAAAGUAGAAUGCUUACAGAUGCCUGCCUAUAGACUUAUAGUGCAUCGUUGACCUUUUGUCCAGUUACUCACCCAUCUUUAUUUUCCUUGUACAUAGGAAAAGGGUUUAGUUGAUCCAUUCAUUGUAGGAUUUAGGAUUUAGAUACCAUAGAAUUAUAAUUUUACCUAAGCUAAUUUCAAUAGAUAGUGGGAAAUAUCUUUCUUUUUUUGGUUGAAAGCGUUCUCGUGGUAUUUUACAUUUGAUGUUUUGCUGCAAAAGGGGUGACCAUCAAAUAUGACGGUUACUCCCUCGCCCCCGCCAACAAGAAAAAAAAAAUGUAUGAAAAGAUGCAGGUUGGACCAUUUUGUUGGAAGUAUGCUGAUGUUUAUUGAAGCUCUGGCAUAUGUUGCUGUGGCUAUCCCUCUUCAACGGAAAAUUCAGUGUGCUGCUAAGAGCCCAUGAUGUAGUACCAGAAGUGGGAAUAUUUUCAGUUGGUAACGGGCGUAACAGGUAUCGUUGGGUCAAAAUUUAAUGUUUAGUCAUUUCUGUGAAUUCUGGCCAUUGUUUUUUUAAAUCAUUUGAACACUUCGUGCAGUAAACCGGAGGUAAAAGUUAAAAUAUAUACUGGUAUCCUCGGCAAAUCUACCAUUGCUAUGGUGAUGGAUGGUGGAGAUGCAUAUUCUCAUAUGCCGUAGUUAAGGUUGAGCGAGAACGGGGAUGCCGUAGUUAAGGAUGAGAGAAGGAAGAUGCCGUAGAGAAAUGGAGAAGAGAGGCGUGUUGUCCAAAACAAUGUGUUUUGUGCUAUUCUUUUAAAUUUGUAAUUAGAAAUGCAAAUUAUGCUGGACUAGCACCAAACUUGUUGGGUUUAUGGCCAACCCCAUGAUCGGUGGUCAUUUUCACUAGUUCCGGCUAUUCCCACGUCUCAUCCUUGAACCCCUUAGGCUGUUUUCGACCUCUCAAGGGCAGCACACGGUUUUAUGGUCGAACAUGUGUCCCAUGGCUAUUUUCACGUCUUUCGACUGUAUUCACGUCUCCAUCCUCAAACCCUCCCAGGUUGUUUUCAUUCUCCUCCCAGGUUGUUUUCAUUCUCCUGAGAGGUGUAGCACAUGAUUUCUUGGCCGAACACGUGUCUGAUGGGCAUUUUCACAUGUUUCGGCUAUCGCCCACAUCUCCAUCCCUAGACCUCCGCCGGGCUGUUUUCAGCCUCCUAUGGGCUAUAGCACACGAUUUCAUAGCCGAACAUAUAUUCGGUGGCCAUUUUGAUGUGUUCAGCUUAUUCCCACGUUUCUAUCCCCGAAGCCCAUUCUAGUCGUUUCCCUUGGUUGCUUGACGAACAGGUGUUCUGUCCACUCUUCACGUGUUUCGACCAUCUUCCAUGUUUCCGUACCCGGAUACCUUCCGUACCAUUUCCCCGCCUCUCGUGGGCUAUACCAUUUCCCCGCCUCUCGUGGGCUAUAGCAUAAGCUUUCUUUGACAUGCAAGCUGGUUUGAGCAUUUGGUUACUGAAGCACAUAUUUGACGGAGUUUGACAGGUAUAUAGAUUCAGUAGUGUUUUGGUAGAAUCUCAGUUUGAGGGGUCAAACAUAUAUACUUAUUUUGGCUUAAACUUGGGCAAAUCAUAGGAACUCGUUGAUCUACAUUUACCAAUUCUGAGAGCAUUUUGGAUCUAUGCUUUGAUCGAUGGAUAUAACAGUCCACCUGUUACAUCUUGCUUUAGUGUUAUCGCUAUUACUAUUGUAUCAAGGGUGUGGUUACCUCUUUGGUAUCAUUGUUCUUGCGAUGUACAUCCAUAUUGCCCCAUGGUUUUUACUUCUGUUUGAAGGGGGGGUUGACUCUGCAUAUGUUAAUCUUCACAUGGUACCCACGCAGGCAGUUCAAAACUUCCAAGUUCCAACCGCUCAAAAAUUAUAGCUGUCGAUGUGUCAAUUAUUUUGUCAGACACGCAAAGCAUGUUUGUUUCUUUAGCACCUCCUAAAAUUCCUGUCACAUCGAAUAUUUAGAUACUAAUUAGGAGUAUUAAAUAUAGGCUAAUUACAAAACCAAUUGCACAGAUGGAGACUAAUUUGCGAGACGAAUCUAUUAAGCCUAAUUAGUCCAUGAUUUGACAAUGUGAUGCUACAGUAAACAUGUGCUAAUGAUGGAUUAAUUAGACUUUAUAGAUUCAUCUCGUGAAUUAGUCUCCAUCUAUAUAUAAUUAGUUUUAUAAUUAGCUCAUGUUUAGUCCUCCUAGUUAGCCUCCAAAUAUUCGAUGUGACAUGAAUUAACGCAUCAGGUCCCUUUCCCCAUGUGAACACGAGGAUCAACCAGCAACGGCCAGUCCAGCAGUCCGCUCGAACAAAACAGCACACGCGUCCUCGCUCGUAGCCGCUGCGUGCUUGGCGUGGUCUGACCGGCGGGAUCUCGAGAGAUGCGUCGAUCUCCCAACCGCCAAUCAGCCCAGUUGCCACCACCCUUCACGUUCGUCUCCUCGUCGCCAUAUGAAUCCCACCGUCCACUCGCGUGCGAAAUUAAACGCGAAGUGGACGGCGACGGCGAGGUCUGGCCACUGAGGCCGUGGAAGGUUAGGUUGGAAGGGGGGAAUUUCGCUGUGCAGUUGCCCGGUAACAACUGUGUGUUGGAUCAGCAAGAAAGGGACGGGAGAAGGCGAAAAGGAGAGGCCAAGAACCCCGAAUAAAGAAAGGCGAAAGGUGGCCGGCACUGUGGCGCAAGCGGACGAUGUGUCGUCUCUCCUGUUGCUCUCGCUGAAGGAGGAGACGGGCCAAGAAGCUUGCAGAUUCCGGCGUCGCUUGGAGUUUGUCCUGGCCUGCGUUUUGGUUUGAGGGGCAAGAACAGGCCAAAGCGCAGACGGAACAACCUGAAAAAGUGAGGAGAGGGAGCCCCCAAUUUUGUCCUGCUUGCUGCUUCUGCUUAUUCUCCUACUCUUCCUCCUCUCUCUCCCUUGACCUUCUUUUGUUGGUUGCGAGCUGAAUUCGGAGCGUGCCAGCCUAAUUUUAGCCGAACCGGAGAUUGCCAUGGGACGGAUUCUUCAGGGGUAGCUUCGGUUGGUUGCUAGGCUGGGCUCUUCCCCCCAGUCUGUUCGAUUCGACGCCAUGGAGGUCUAGCCGGCCACUUGCAGGUGCCGGAGCUCGCGUUUCCUGACGCGCGCUUUCUGGCGUUCUGCAAGAAUCUCAUCCCUCCAAGAGCAGAUUCUUCACCCACAACCUUGUUGUUGGAGUUGGAGCCCAAUUUUUUUUUUUUUUUGAAUUUGGCACGGCUCCGCCCCUCGCGGCGCAAAAGGAUGCUCCUUUCGUGACCGGCAAGGUUGGAUUCUCAUCACCUUCGUGGCUGUCGAUUGGGUUCUGAUGUUCUUGGCGAGGUAGGCGGCGUCAGAUGCCCAAGCCUGGAGGUUGCAGCAGCAGCAGCAGCGGCCGCGGAGGGAGUGGUGGUGGUGGGCCGAGCGGCGGGGACGCCAAGGACUUGCCGCAGCUUUUGCUCAGGGUGGGCGUCGCCGUCACGCUCUCCGUCGCUGGGCUGCUCUUCUCGCGGCGCCAGCGGCCGCCCCGGCAGCUCCUGCUGCCACCCCCUCCUCCUCCCUCAGGUAUCAGCCAUGAGCAGAUUUGUAGCGCCUGUGAAGAUGGCGCAUCGAUUGUCAAUUGUGCUUUUGUGCUGUGGUACAUGAAAUUUGGUGAUGAUGUGCAUGUGUGUUUGUGAUUGUAGAGUCGGAUGAUGCCCCAAGCAUGAAGGCCAGAACAGGGCUCAAGGAGCUGAGGAUCCUCAAAAAUGUAAGGAUUUGGAUUUUGAAUAAUUGAAUUUCAUGGUUUACUUGUAAUUCAUAGUUCUGAAGAUUCAACCACCCUUUAAAAUUUGUCCAUGUUCGUGCGUAGUAUUUGUGGCUUUUGAUGAAAACUUUUAUUUUUUUUAAUGCUUAAAUUUUUUUGGUUCUAAAUACUGGUGUUUUGAUCUUCUCUUAAGUGAUUAAACUCAUUUUACACUGCUAGGUGAUGUUUAUAUCGCCUAAAACAUUAUCAUAACAGAUGACCCUUUCAUUGCACACUUCUUUCAAAUGGUAUCUUGUGAAACAAGGUUAAGUUUUCGAUUUUGCAGUACAAGUACAACACGCAUGAAUGUAGUUUGUCUUCGAUAAAACACGACUUGACUUCUGAUUGACCAUUCAUGUUUGAUUUUGCAUAUUAUUCCUAUUGAAUUGAACGAGUGUGUAAAAAUGCCCAUGUUGACAUGUUGACCUUUUUUCUGUUUGUCAAGGAGGACACCAGGGCAAAAAUCAUCAGUGGAAACUCUGUUCACACAACCACUACAACCACAACGACCACCACCACAGCCUUAGUGCCAUUGGCCCCCAAAUGCAGAAGCAUUGCCGAUGAUGAAGGAUACCUCCUUCCAGAGUUCAAUGAAAUGGUUCUCAAAGAAUUUUGCCGAGACAUAGACAGUAUCCCAACCACACCUGCAGCAAGAGUAAGGGAAGAUGUAUCUAAUGACCAUGAAAUCCACAAGCUUAGAGAUUUGGUGAGAUCCCUGCAAGAAAGGGAGAAGACCCUGGAGCUACAGCUUCUGGAGUAUUACGGUUUACAGGAGCAAGAUGCCGCAGUGAGGGAGCUUGAGAAUCAGCUGAAGAUUAACAAUGUCGAAUCCAAGCUGUACUCAUUGAAGGUCGAAUCUUUACAGUCUGAAAACCAGGAGCUGCAAGCACAGUUGUCAGAGAACUCAAAGAUAAUCUCUGAGCUUGAGGCGACAAGAGCGAAGUGCAAGUUGCUAAAGAAGAAGUUGGCAUUGGAUGCAGAACAGUCAAAGGAGAAAGUGACUUCCCUUCAGAAAACAGUCGAUUCAUUGCAGCACAAAGAGACUGAUGAGGUGAACAAUCAUAUUGAGGUUGAGAAUAAAUUGAAGAGGCUAGAGGAGCUGGAAAAGGAGGCAACAGAGCUUAGAGCUACGAAUUCAAGGCUGCAGCAGGAGAAUGCACAUCUUAUUAGGAGACUGGAGCUUACACGCCUACCCCCUGUACCCAAGCCUAAAAAUAGCAUGGAGGUGAUUCUUUACUGUUCUUGGACUUUAUUGUAGCUGGCACUUACUAAAUCAAUUUUAAUCCUUGGAGUGGUCAUUCCUAAGUACGACAUGGUGUUCUCAAUAUUUCUUUUGCAAAUGAGACGAAGUCACAUAAUUCUACCACAAAAUAAUUUUUUAUGUUAGUUUAAAGUUCAUUGUGUUCUUGAUAUUUUGUUGUUCCCUCAUGAAUUCAAUAACCUAUAAUGUCUUCAGGUAAAAGCAUUGGAGGAGGCUGAUCGGUUGAAGCAAGAAAACGAGAAGUUGGCUAAAGAGAUUGAACAACUGCAGAGUGACAGGUUUGCAGAUGUUGAAGAAUUGGUAUAUCUGAAAUGGAUAAAUGCCUGCCUACGGUAUGAGCUGAGAAACAAGGAUGCUCCAUCAGGGAAGACUGUUGCACGGGAUCUUAACAAGACCCUGAGCCCUAAGUCUGAACUGAAGGCCAAGCAGCUGAUAAUGGAAUAUGCCAACGCUGGUGCGGAGGACAGUCACUUGAGCCAUGUUGAAUUUGGUUCAGAAUGCUCUUCUUCACGGGCAUCGUCAGGUGAACCGGAUGAUGUAUCAAUUGAUGUCGCUGCGAUGACAAAGCAUAAAAACCCGAAGAAGAAAAAGUUCUUCUCUAAGCUUCGAAAACUGGUGCUUGGAAAAGGAAAGGAGAACCAUGAAGUUUCUACUCUGGAAAGGAGAGUAUCUAUUUCAAGCUGUUCAUUCGAUGACUUAACUGGAAGGGAUUCACAUGAUAGCUAUUCUUCAUUCAUGGCAGAACCAAAUGUACCUGAUAGUCAACGACAUGGCGAUCAUGGCUUCAGUACGCAUUCUUCUUUGCACAGUGUGAAAUCUUGUCCUGUUGGAACAGAAACUGGAAAUGAGAGAAGUGAUCAUUCUGAUGUGAAGAGUAUAUCUUCUAGAGAGGAAAGGGUAAAUUCGUUUGGUCACAGUGCUCGCCUUGAUAGCGGCAAGGCCAUACCUGUGGAUGCGGAGAUCCAUAAAUUUGCCGAUGCACUGAGCACAUCAAGGUCAGGUUCCAUGUCAUCAAGAAGGUCGUCGUCCUUCCGACACUGAUACACGAAUAGAUUAGGAGUCAUCUGCGGCUGACCCAUCUGCCUGGAUGUAUAUUUGUACCAGUGCUUGAUUGGGAAGUUAUAGGAGACGUUACUGGAAUGAAGUUCUCAAGGCUUUAUUCUUUGUGAAAUGUACAAUCACGUAUAGAGUGUAGUUUACUAACCUUAAAUACCAACCCUUGCCAUUUGGGUUGGUAAUGUGUAUCAUAAAAUGCCACAGUUCAAUGGCAAACAUACAACACUUCUUUUAUGUAUCUUGUGUCAUUGUGUGCAUGAUGUUCAAUUGCACUCAAUCCGCAGUUAAAACUUUGUUAGAGAAUGUUCCGGCUUCUGCAUCCUAUCAUACACAAGCGACAUGGCUGGCUGUUACUACUGCGUCACAGUUUCUCCUUUUUACCAUCACAGUAUCACUGUUAUGUUGCGUCAGCAAGGCGUCAUCAACUUGGUGGCGAACCGGGGAUUACAUCACCUAAAUCUGGGGUUUCAGAUAGUGGGAAUUGUUAUCAGCAGCACGAGUUCAUGAAGCAGAACAGAUGAGUGAGACAGUCUAUCAUUUGACAAAACCCAAAUAUAUUGACCAUUACAUUUCAUUUUGGAGUACAGAAGCAUUGUGAGACUCCAUAGUCAACCAGGGAGCAUGCAAAUUGUAUAUAAUAACAACAUCAGACGGUAUAGAAACCACAGAUACAUCACCGACGAGCAACAAAAGGGGCAAAAUUUCAGGAGCAUACUACUCUUCCAAAGGAACAGAGAUAGUCCACAGCACUAUUUCCCUCGGAACUGCAUUCCAUGCUAUUCUUUUUACUUGCAUGAGUUCACCGCGCGUUCUCGAGGACCGACUUGCCUCAGCAACUGGAUCAUCAGCAGGCAGUAAAUAUGUAAGAACAGAUGUUCAUCAUCCAUGUAAGAAACGCUGCAAUUAAGGUGAGCAGCAACAGGACCUUUGGUCUUUACAGGUUAGAGUGUUGCGUUUACCUGAAAAUAUGUCUCCAUCUUCUGCUUCAGAGUGGCAUGCUCCCUCUUCAUCUUCUGGAGCGACCUGCGGCAUCUGAGACAUGGAAUGGUGAAACAGGUGAGCACACUGGAAAAGAAUGAGAUGCAGAUAUAGAGGAAGAGUCGUGAAGUGUACCCUUCGAGAUUCCUGCCAUCGCAGUGUGCUUUAAACAUGGAGCACGCAUUUUUCAUCCUCAGAGCACCGAUGCUGUGCCAGAAAAGAGGCUACCUUUAGUGAACUUGAAGAUAUAUCUUAAUAAUCAUAUUUUGCAUCAGUGAGCUGAGCACUCCAAAAGCUAGACCAUAAUGGAUAAUGAGAAGAUUCUGAAUUGCCGAGCUAUGAAAAACAAUUGUUUGCAAUAUGUUUCUAGGCAUAUUCACCGCCUCUAUACCUUGAUCCACUGCCUUUGAACUGGUGCACCAAAGAAUCCAACCGGUAGAAAUCCUGAGGGUACUUCUCACUGUAUCACAAGAAAUUGAAAAGUGAAUGCACUAAACAGGAUUGUUUCUACUGCUAAUCUUGUCUUAGAAGUCAUGUGUGUGCAGUAUACCAGAAAAUCCCAAUUGUCUGUAGAUGAAUCAGUCAUAUACUACUUACAGUGCUUGUUCUAUGUUUGUCAACAACCUUGAUGAAUCUUUGAAAAACAAAGCCACUACUUCCUCAACAAAAUUGGGGCUUGAAUCAUCCUGCAGAUCUUCCAGAUGAUUAAACUGUUCAUCCAGGUAACCCUGCAGGAAAUUACGGGUUAGAUUAAAAAGCAAAAUAAAGAAGAAUUAACUCUCUGGUAAAAAGCAACUUGCUCUUGAGAGUGGCCUCUUCUAAUUGUUUGAAAUAUUAUGAAGGAUCAAAAAAUCCUUGAUGAAAUAAUGGAUAUAGGGUAUGUUUGGACAUGGAGACAAGCACAUUUUUGGUGACAAGUAUGGCGGCUCGUUGGACAUAAAAGAAAGACACAUGGGAUCAAAAUGUAUAAGAAAAAACUAUAUCUCAUGGGUUUCCUGUUUUUUCAUUUGCUCCAAAUCAUGUGUUAUAUGAUAAUGAAAAAUGAAAGAUAAAAUUAGCAGCUUGUAUGCUAUUUGAGAACAUUUUUAGAAUCAACCGUUUGGAUUGUGCUUGUCCCUAAGGGUUACAAAUCUUCACUCUAAAAUACACAACGAAAGAUUGCCUUUUGGACAGUCCACAUAAAGACCAACCAACUGAGUUCCAGCAAGUGGUUUUAGGCUUCAACCUAGCUAGGCAUAAAGGGGACUCUGAUGUUUGCCUACCAGAAACUAAUGUAUGAUCAAAAUGAUCCUAAAUUAUGAUGACUCUGUAAAGUAUGAAAACCCACCUUUCUGUAUAUUCUCAAAGGAAUAUGAAAAUAGGAAAAUAAAGUGGCACGCUAUUCUGUAUGGUCGGCGACUUCCUUCCAUUUAUCUACUAAAUUCCAUUAUCACAAAUUCACAAUGUGUGAACAUGAUGUAGCAGAAUAUGUUGUGUAACUUUUAGAUAGGAAGAUUGGAGCUACUUGAAUUAUUUCAAAUCAUCUAACAAAAUGAGCUGUGGUUCGUUACAAAACUAAAUUUGAAAUAUAAUGAGUGAAUAAUCUGCCUGACAAAAUGAGUUAUGUUGAUUAUCCUAUGAAACCUAUAAGAGCUCCAGACAUGAAAAAAAAUAUGUUAAUAGGUGUGACACUGUUAGUCAUUACGAUCCCAGGUUCCCAGUGAACUGAGACAAAACCUGAUCGAAGAGGCUUUUCUUCAUGGAGAUGAUCUGGCGCCGCAAAUUUGAGUAGUCCAUAUUUGGCUACCUCAGUGCAGGCAGGUAUAGAGAACUGAGAUUGGCACACUGAGACACAAAACGAACGAGGGUGUGUAUAUAUAGAGGGAAACAGGACAUUUUUAUAACAUGCAAAAUCUUUAUUCUACAUUGAUAAUGUCCUCCUGUGAAUAAAGCAUAACAAAAAGACAAAGAACUUUCCUUUUUCCAUGAAACUGUUGGAAAAUAGCUCAAGUACAAAUGCUGCAAGUUGCUCUAUUAGUUCUUUACUUUAUAAACCAAAAAAGGGGGUUCUCUACUACAUAAGGUUUCUGUGGCUACACUGUAAACAGCGAGGAACUUCAGAAUAUCAUGAAGCUGCACAACAGAAAUGCAUAGAACUGUCAAACCAUAGAACUUGUUCCUUAAGAACUCACUUACAAAUAAGAUAAAUAAAGUAUUUUUAGAUACUAGCUAAUGAAAUUACAAAUAUAGACAAUUGCACAUUCAUCUGUAUCACUUGUACAUAAAGCUCUUUCUACCAUUCAGAGAGUCGGGAUUGAGCCAAUCUCACUAUUACACAAUGAACGCCAUCAAAGAUUGUCAGUGACUGAUGAAGAGGACAGAUUCACUAAAUCUAGAAAUUCUAACUUUACACGAUAUCUUCUACUGCAAAAGAGUUUUUGGAAGAAUUAGUCUCUUUAAAUGACAUCAACCGUUGAAAUUCCUUGUAAGUUUUUAACAUAAAGAAAAUUUCCUUUUAAUUCAUAAAAUUACAGACAAGUGGAGUAGUAACUAUGGCCAUUGGCCAAGCUGCCUCUAGAAAAGUUACAGUUAUCGCUGAAACAAAACGAAGAUGAUGGCUAGCUCUUGUAAACUAAGACUAACUACGUUUCCACAAAUACAACACGAAAAUGCAUUGGAAAAGGUAAACAUAAAAAGAUGUUUAAUGACCAUUGUUUUUAACAUGGGACAACAGUAUACUUUUCACGGAAAAAUUACAGUAUUGCUGAUGUCAUAAUUCCUGAUACAGAUGAAUUACUGAAAGCAUAUCAAUCCCACCUCUUCCAUGAGUACGCAAAAAUAUUCCAAUAGCCUUUCAAGAAAACAGCUAAAAAUUGCAACUCUAUGAAUGGACUGGUACUAGCACAACAGAAAGAGAUACUUGGUACUACAAGAAAAGAGAGUCUAAAUAAAAAAAAUGAUUGGAGAAUCUUUUCAAGAAGUCACUAGCUAACUCCUUAAAGUCACUUCCUAAAGCGAUAGGAACAGUUGGAACUCAGACAUGCCACGUAGCCAUUACACUAGAACAAAUGGAAAUAACAGCAAACUAAAAUAUUGCAUAAAAUUUCAAAAUUCUAAGACAUUCAGGCAUUUAAGUUGAAAUAUCGACAUCAAAGUUCUGUUAGUUUGAGAUAUUAUCUUCAUCUAUUUUAGAAAUGUUUACAGGUACCUAAGAUGCAACGUCAAUAGAUCAUAAAGGUGGACACCUCAGGCAGAUCUGUCAUCAGUCAUCAGAUGAACCAAAGGAGCUCAACUAUCUGCUGCUUUUCGCCACAUCUCACAUAUCCUGAAACAUUGUCCAGAGAAGACUAACAACAAGGAAUGGGUGUGAGGCAUAAUCAUCAAAUGGGCGAAGCAGGCACCCUACUAAAAAGGAAGAAGAUAAAUAGUGGCAUCACCAUGCUACACUAAAACCAAAUGGAGAAUUGGAUGAUAAAGGGGAAGAUGCAUAGUGGGCAGGAAAUUCCCACUUUAUUCCUUUCUAGUAGCUACUCCCAUGGUUUUUCGGUUGCAGUUAUAUAUUUUAUUUUGUUUGGUCCCAUCCACUGCUUUCGAUAAAUGCUGAAAAGAGGAAUAAACUGUAUAAUUGGAGCAGUGAAAAUGACCUCUAGGUAUCUCUGCUGGAUAGUGAUAAGAGAAUAUGAACCUGGAACAGGACAUUAAAAUGACGGAUAUUGGUUUAAAUGGUUAGUGUCAGUAAAGUUCUUAUCUGGGCGAAUCAUGACAGCAAGAUGCAUAACAAACACUAGCCGCAGAGCACAAAUCUGAUCACGAAGUGAGAGGUGGCAUAGCCAACACAUCACUACCUUGACAGUUGCAAGAAUUGUUGCACCUCUUUUUCUAUAUGUGCACCUAAGCAUCUUGCGAUGCAUAUUCCCACACACAUAUCGCAUUUAAAAAUGGACCAGAUAAGGAGAGACAGCAUCCUUUCCAUGUAAAGUAAGAAUCGAUGCAGGACAGUAGUUCAUAUUUCAUAUUUAUAUUCUGCGCAGAUCGGAUCGUUCACCACAGAGCUCUGUCAAUGGCUGGCAGUAUAAGAAAUCAAAUCAGGAGCUCAUUCAUAUAUAGGAAUAGACAUUUUUUACUUUAAACUGAUGUGCUAACAGCGAAUGGUACUACUGAAACAAACCACGUAAGAUUUCGGAUCCACCAGCCAAUUACUCACGGCAAUUCAUAACCACUUGGCUUGCAAGAUUGGAAUAUAAAGCUGGAUGAUUCUCACAAGACAAGAUUCCAGCCUCAUGUCAUAGAGCAUUGCAGGUGAAUUAUCUUUACCGAUCAUAUAUUGUUGGAGAUAAAUCUAUCUCCCUAGCCUAAAUACACCCAAAUCCAAGACAUGACUUCAGUUUCAUAUAAAGCUUCAGGGAUAGUGUCUGUUUGGACUUUGGAGUUGCAUAAACUAUAUAUCAUUGGUAUAAUCGUAACCACCAGAGCCUGAAGCCCUGAAAUCAACAGGUUUCAGUUGCGAGCAGCUGCGUGCGGAUGAUGUCACGGCCAGGUUCUUCCAGACGUCCAGGUUCCCUCCUCCCAUGACGACGCCACCGGCACCUACUUGAUCAUUCUGUGUCGCCGUUCCGCAUUCUGUGUCACCGGCACCUACUUGAUCAUUUAGGUUGCGCAUGCACCUACUUGAUCAAUGGGGGUCAUGAAAUGCAGAAAAUCUACACAACUUGGUGGAACAGGGUAAUAAACAGGAUGGGAUUGUGGCACUGUCACAACAGUCAGGCUGCUGAAGAAUAUAUGUGUAUCCAUCUCCAGCAUAAGGCACCGGUUUGCUAAAUUCAGAUGCUUCAUGCUUCCCUGGAAUUAAAGCUCGUUCAGUGAACCAGCAUCCUGGUUCCCAUAAGAUGUAAGGUAGGCAAUGAUUUGAAGCUGUGGGUCACCAUGGAAAGUGUUGAGCAUAAGCAUCUGAAUUUACAGGAUAUUGAAUAAAACCUAUGCAUCACUGAUCACUAGAGGGAGCAGUACAAGCAUGAAUAAUGUACCGUUUCAGGAAACAUGUAAAGCAACAUCAACUGUUCCAUCAUGAUCAGUUCUCUGCCUCAUAGAGAGCUUCUGACAAUGCCAAACCAACUGAGCUGGCGUCUCCAGAACAGAGAAGUUGCAAGAUGCCAUCUGAAGGGUGCACUGCAUAUUUGAAGUUCUCAUCAUCUCAUCAUCUUUUGCGUAAUGUAACCUGAACGAUGAACGAGCUCUCCUGCGUAUUCACGGAAAAAAAAAGAAAUUUUGAAUUGUCAACUCAGCGUUAAUCUCAAAAAACAGGUUAAUCUCAACUCAGCGUUGCUCCUGUACUUGGCAAUAUAUAAUUGUCAAAAGAUAGUUUUCGUUGUGCAUUGAUGCGAGAACCAAUUUAGACUGUGCUUAGACUUUGGAGCCCAGCAAUAAGGCUUUGGGCCGUUGGACCUGUUUUAAUCAACGGUCCAGAGAAUGGGCGGGUGCAAGUGAGAAUUUUGUAGGAUUUUUAUUUGAUUCAAGUAGCUUUGUUAAGAAACCGAAGUAGAUCGAUCAAGGCGAAACUGAGUGAACUUUGGCACCAAUCAAAUCAAAUGUGUCUUUCUCUUGAUUUACACUGGUUUAAAGUAGUAUAAAGACUCAACAAAUUUGUCAGAAGAAUGAACGAAAAGCACCUCGAUCAGGUACGCACACCAGUGAUUGACACACUAAUAACAAAGUAAAAAAUGACUGACGACCUGUAUGGUGUGGUAUACUGGUAUGCCGUAUGGCCCGUAUACGAUACACAAAAAUACAGUACGAAACAAGGUAUAAACUCCUCUAGCAGCAGCAACAAGCUUCAGCUCAACUUUUAUUGACUCAACUCACACGACGGCCCAGCAGCAAAAAUGGCGUCCCUUUCCUCCUCGGCCGCCAGCCGGCCAUGGUCAUCACCUAUGCUUUACCGGUAGCUGCGGUAGGUUGGGGUGUACAUGCAGCUCUGGGCGUACUUGACAAGGUCGUCGGGGCGCGGCAGGCGGCUGGCGAGGCCGAGCUCGUAGGCCUUUUCGGCCACCUUGGCGGCGAUGCGCGCCGAGAUGGUGCGGAUGUUGGUGAACGGCGGGAAGAUGAGCCCCUUGGCGAAGUGCUCGUCGGUGACCUGCUCCGCCAGCGCCUCCGACGCCGCCAGCAGCAUGUCGUCGUGGACGCGGAUGGCGCCGGAGAUGACCACGCCGAGGCCGAACCCAGGGAAUAUGUAGGCGUUGUUGGACUGCCCCGGCACGUACACCUUGCCUUCGUGCUCGACGGCGUCGAAGGGGCUGCCGCUGGCGAACACGGCGCGGCCCUGGGACCAGGUGUAAGCCUCCUCCGCCGUGCACUCCGAGUGCGACGUCGGGUUGGACAGCGCGAAGAUGACGGGCCUCUCGUUGAAGGACGCCAUGGCCUCCACCACCUCCUUGGUGAAGGUGCGGCCCACGCCGGAGGUGCCGAUCAGCACCGUCGGCUUGAUGGACUCCACGGCCUCCAGCAGGGUCUUGAGGGGCUCGUGAUCGUGCGCCCACGGCUGCUUGAAGUGCUGCAGCGACUCCUUGCGCGACUCCACGAUCAGGCCCUUGGAGUCCACAAGCCAGAUCUUCUUGCGGCAAUCGUCGAUCGGAGUCUCCGACUGUUUGGAAAAAACAAUCAGCACAUCAGGAAUUUUUUUUCUUGGGAUUAAUGGACAUUGAGAUUAGUUACUUACAUGUUUUGACAUCUCAAGAGCAAUGAGGUCAGCAAUACCAGUUCCAGCCUGCAAGUAGACAAACAAUGAAAUCAAACGAACCAGCGAAAGCAUGCCAAGUAUCGGUGCAUUAUCGAUCAGUAAAAGCAGGGCAUUGUUCAGAACAUGAGGAAUAAAAGAUUAUCGUGACUGACCUCGCCGGCACCAAGGAACAGGUAGGUGUGGUCAGCAAGAGUGCCACCGACCACCUUGAGCGCCGCCAAGAGACCUGCGAGGACCACCGAGGCUGUUCCCUGCAAUCCCAUCGUUUUAUAUCAGCACACUUGAAACAGAGGAGGACAGAACAGCCCCUGUUCGGCUGUUCUGAACUUGGCAUGCAUAAUCCUACCUGGAUAUCGUCGUUGAACACGAGAUGGCUCUUGCUGUACUUGGCAAGCAAGUCAAAAGCAUUGUGGUUGGCAAAGUCCUCGAACUGUCGUCAAAAGGAACAGAUUGAAGACCUGGCACCUAGAGAAAGGCCAAAAGGCACAAAAAGCUAAAAGUGUUCCACUGUGACGGACCUGGGUUAGGACUUUCUCGCCGUAGUUUUGCUUGACGGCGGUCAUGAACUCUUCGAGAAGCUCGUGGUAUUCCUGUGAAUCAUCGGAAAACAGAAAAUCACAUCUCAAUUCAGAAAAGAGACCACCAAGUCACCUAUUGCAGGUGUUCGUCAGAAUUAUAAAGUGCGGACAGCGACGAACCUGGCCGGUGGCACGUCUUUGGCGGAGGCCAAUGUAGAACUCGUCGUUGAGCAAGGUCUCGUUGUUGGUGCCAACAUCGAUUGUGAUCGGCAGGCACUGCAGCAUAAAACCAUUUGCCGUCAUCAGCAAAAUAAGUCAUGGAUCGUCAUCUCUUUUUUUGUCGAUUGUUAUUACAUUACAGAAGAACACUUACAGCGGAUGGGCGAACGCCUCCGAGGGCGGUGUAGAGAGACAGCUUGCCAACGGGGAUCCCCAUCCCCUGGCAGCCCAGGUCCCCGAGCCCCAGGAUGCGCUCGCCGUCGGUGACGACGAUGACCUGGAUGCUCCUCUCCGGCCAGUUCUUGAGCACCUCAAGGAUCUUGCCCCUGGAACGAAACAUUCCGUCAGGCAAGGAGGCAACGAAGACGGCGCGAAUACAGAGGCGCUAGCACCAUCAGGAAAUCUUACUUGUCCUUGAGGCUGAUGUAGAGCCCCUGCGGGCGCCUGUAGAUGCUGCCGUACUUCUGGCACGCCUCGCCGACGGUGGGCGUGUAGACGACGGGGAGCAGCUCCUCGACGUUGUCGAUGAGGAGCUUGUAGAAGAGACGCUCGUUGCGCUCCUGCAGGUCCAUCAUGGCGAUGUAGCGCUGCAGGGGCACCGUGUACUGGCGCAGGUUGUGCAUGAUCUUCUUCUCCUGGAGCUCCUGCGACGCCAGCGCGGGCGGGAGCAGGCCGCGCAGGUAGUGCGCGUUGCGCUCCGCCUCCGAGAAGGCCAGGCCCUUGUUGUGCCGCGGGUCGCGGAGCAGGGUGUAGCCGCUGCACGAGGAAGAAGAAAAGGAAGCAUGGUCAAUGAGAUGCUUGUUAUUGCCCGUAAAUUUCGUCGUCGUCUUUUACACGAUGAUGAUGAAUGAUGCUGCGUUGCUGUUGAUCGAGAGAUUCAAAGAAGGUGAUGAAAAUAAAACAAGAAAGGAAAAAAAGGAAAGUUUGGAGAAGAUUGGAAAGGGGGAAAAAACAAAGGGCGGCUUUAGGCGCGUUGCGUAACGUAGGGUCCCCGGAAGGGGAAGAAUGUUUGGUAACGUAAGCUGGCUGGAGAUGGUGGCAGAACCAUCCAUGGCCGAGAUCGACCGGACGAUCUGGUCUCGCGCAACAAACGAACAGUGCACCAGGAGGCACACACAGACAGGAUCAUGGCAGGAAAAGGAGAUUCAGAGGAAUCGAAACGACGGGCGUGAGGCAUAUGCAGGAUGCAUGGGCGAUCCGACUACUGACCUGGCGACGGAGAAGGCCCACGGCGUGACGAGAUGCUCCUCGGUGGCGCGGUCCUCGCCGUACGCGUCCUCGACGCCGCCGCCAGCCAUCUCCAUCUCCGACGACAUAUCGACGAUCUCCUGGGCGAAGCUACCUAGUGCUCCUCUGUUUCGUGCUGUCUGUUUUCCAGCGCCAACCGCGGGUCGAGACUUGAGAGGGCAGGCAGGUUACAGAUGGAAGGAUGCGGGGAAGGAGCGAGCGGCGGUGGCGCGCAUUUAUAGCAGGGCGAGCGUCAUGGGGCCCACGCGGCGGGGGCGAGUCCUAGUCUCGAUUUGCCACGGCGAAGGAGGGGCCCGCGUGUGAAAGGGAGGAAAGGUCGGAGAGGAGGGGGACGCGAAUAGUAAGCGCCAAGGGAACCAAGGGAGGCGUCCUCCACCUCCUCCCGUUGGAAAGGAAAGGAAAGCCCAAAGCCAAGGGUUGGAAAGGUGGUGGGGACUGCCGGACUGGGGAGGGAAGCUGCCCACGGCCAGAAAGGGGCAAGGUUAGGUGGCGGAGGUCAGGAGGUGGGAGAAGAGUCGCCGGCCGCCGGGUGCGCGGUGCGCUCGGGUCCGGUGGGUUCGGUCUUCACCAUUGGCGCCGGCGCGGCGUACCCGUCGGCCAUCGGUCGUCACGGCGUUCUCAUCGUGCCGUAGCAGCGAGUCAGGAACCGGUUGGUUAGCGUAUUAAUUAGUAGGAGCGGUUAUACGAGUGCUAGUAAGUGCGCUGGCUCGAUCAUCCGCUUUCAGAAUUGAUGAAGGGCAUGGCCAGGCCACGGCGUCAAACCGUGCUCCGAUCAUCCUAGUGCCGCGACCGCGAGGCAGUAGUAAACAUCUUCCAGUGUCGACGACGUAGCUGCGCGCGCGCGUACGAGCGUGCACGAAGCCAGCAUGGAUGCACGCGCCAGUGCAGAGAAAGGUCAGGCAGACCCAGACACGUAACGACUUGUGUCUACGUACCUUGCUCAGCUGUUUGUAAUGACAUAGACCUUACUCAAAGUUUGGAGGUGUAAAAUUACUGUUAUAGCACCGUAGCACACUGUAGCGUUUCGUUUGUAUUUGUGAAUUAUUAUCCAAAUAUUGACUAAUUAGGCUCAAAAGAUUCGUCUCGCAAAGUACAAGAAAACUGUGCAAUUAGUUUUUAAUUUCGUCUACAUUUAGUACUCCAUGCAUGUACCGUAAGUUUGAUGUAAUGGGAAAUCUUCUUUUUGCAUAGUGUCAAAGUUGGAAGUUUUGAGGAAAGUAAACAUGACCAUGGUACUACCGUUUAACCGUUAGUCCUCCCUUUUGACCUGCAUGGAGAAACUAGUAGUACGGUGUAUCACGAGCAUUGUUACGCGUAUUCGUUGAGUUCCGACAGAAUUCUUCCAGCGAUUUGACCAUGAUAAUCUCCUGGAAACAGUCCAGCGGCCAUGGUCAACCCCACGACGUUUCUCACCUGACGUGUAGGGUUGGGUUCAAACUUGAAGCAGUCAGGUAUGCAGAGGCUCUGUAUUGGUGGACUUCAACUUUUCCAAAGUGGCCACCAAACAUUCCGUUAUGUUAUGUGGCCAAACAGCUAGUAGUGGCAUGCAGAUGACCUGGCGCUACGUGUAUACAAGUACCUUUUCGUUUCUUCUAUUUUUCUAUCUACUGACUUGUUGUUCUCUUCAAAACACACGAGUGCCAUAUAACUUUUUCCCAAAAACGAACGCUGUCACCUAACGAAAGCGCGUGCAGAGCGCCGCGGCGGGUUGCCGCAACACCCGCCACCAGCCCACACAGCAAGCAGCGUCGUUUCUACGGCGCUGACCAUUCACGGCUCCUCCGCAACGUGGCCCGACCCGCUCCGGCUUCCGGUCCACCGCGCAGUGAGUAGCAAGCUUGGGGCCUGGGGCCUACCGGUGGUCGUCGCUCAGGUGGGAAAAAGAGGCUGGUUGGUCCGACAACGAACGGGAGAUUGGUACGCCGGUGUCGGUUGGGUUAAAGCCUGUCCGAGAUGCGCCUACACACAAAAGCAGCCGGAUGGAUCGACCACACAGCUGCUGGUAGGGCACCAAACUCGUUUGAGGUUAACAUGUUUGUAACAGCGUCGCACGAAACGUCGUUACUACGAGCGUGACGCUUGAGGCGAUGGGCCCGUAUCCUUUUGUGCGGCGGAAGGCGGAUUAUGCCAAAAGGGCCGUAUUUUUUUGUCAGGAUUGUGUUCAAUUCGCGCGUGGCUCUUUCACGGCUAGGGUGAGUCGGCCCGCAGCAGCGAUCUCUUUCGGAACCGCAGUAUCUGGGCGUGUAGUGAGCACCCAACGGUUCCGAAUUUAAGCGCAGGAACUGGUUGCCAUGAACGUAGAGGAAGGAAGUAUAUACGACUGGUAUACGUGAUGAAUCUCACAUCACAGUUUACAGGUUAUCCAACAGUGAUCUGUGCCAUCGUCCCGUCCGGCCCGUCGCUUCUCUCCGCGUGCACCAGCAUCCAUACGUAGCGGUAGCAAAAAGUCGGACGUGUUUGUUGAGGGCCGACAGAAUCAAACCGUUUAAUUCUACGGAGACGGCCACCUGGUUAGCACCCACACCGCCUUUAAAUUCUACGGAGACGGCGGCGGCGACGCUGACCGGUGACCGUUCCACCCGCCGGGGAUGUGGGCAGCAGGCAGGUCAGGUGGAAACGGAAAGGACCGGAGGAUCGGAGCUGGUGGGGUGGACGGUGCCCGUUGCCGUUGGUUUUUACGGCCUGCAGCAGAGAGCUGCCGGCCGUGUUACGGCUCAGAGGAAAAGGACUGCCCGCAGCUGCUGCUUCUUUCACAACAAGCUAGCUAUUGGCCGUGUUUGAUAGGAUUCUAGAGCGAUUCUAAUCAUUUUAGAGGUGUUUGAUACGAUAUGCUAAAUUUUAGCAGGCUCACGUCGGAUAUUAGGAUGCUAAUUAGGAGGGUUAAACAUGAGCUAAUUACAAACUAAUUGCACAGAUGGAAUCUAAUUUGCGAGAUAAAUCUAUUAAGGCUAAUUAAUCCAUCAUUAGCAAAUAGUUAUUGUAGCACAACAUUGUCAAAUCAUGGACUAAUUAUGCUUAAUAGAUUCGUCUCGUGAAUUAGACUCCAUAUGUGCAAUUAAUUUUGUAAUUAGCUCAUGUUUAGUCCUCCUAAUUAGCAUCCAAACAUCCAACGUGACAGGUGCUAAAGUUUAGCACGGCGUAUCCAAACACCCCUUAAUUUUAAUCUAGUGAACCACCCCAAACGUUCUGAUUUUGAUACGCUUCCAUGGGAAUUGAUUCCCUGACCAUCGAGCAAAACAACGUGAGUGCAGAAUCGUCCGCCUCGUCGCUGGGGAAAAAUCCCACCGAUUGUGAGGGAUCAGUUACUAGUUCGGCUCGCACCCCUUCCAUCCAUUCCGCCGCCCCCGAAGGUAGGGACGAGCGGCUCCUUCCUGUCGCCCAUCGCCGUCACCCCUUGCGGUGAAUAAUCGGCCUGCUCCUCGCUGCUUGAGGCCCGUGCGCCAGCGCGCCGCCUGAUGCCGCUUGGGCCCCUCCGACUCCGCCGCCUGACAUGCCUCCCUCGCCAAUCGCACCCUUCUGCCUGGCGAGCCCCCUCCAGCAGCAACGAGCGUCAAGGCCGGCGCCAGCCGCUCAAGAUUUGCAACGAGCAGAACCCCUGAAGGCCUCCCUGCAGCGCACACGCAGUUCAUUACACACUAAGCACAGAUAAUCUUAUAACAGAGAAUCAGGUUGUCAAACACUCUACUUCUCUUGCCAGUAGAUUUUGUACUUCUCUUGCUAGUAGAUUUUGUGGACAGCAAUUUUUCAAAGCAACUAGAUUUUUAUUUUAGAGAAUCGCUGCUCAAAUAUACUGAAACAACCAAGGCCAUUGUCUGUCCAGUCCACACGACACAGGAUCGAGAAGACCCUUGCUUCCGCGCCUGCAUUGCAACUGCAUCCGUCAGCCGUGUACGCUGGAGGGAAGCAGCAUCCGCCGCGAUCGAUUGCCGCAUGCAGUUGCUAUGUAUCAUCCCAUCCGUUCCAUCCCAUCCGGCGCCCACCUCCAUGAGCGAGCGUGGCAACGUGUUCGCGCCGGCGGCCGGCGGGCCGAGGUAGACAAAGCUCUGGAUCGAAUUUCCUUCCAUCCAUGGGGCACCGCACGCUCAUGCUGUCUCGCUGCCUCCCGAUCCGCGCUUAAUUUCCUCAAGGCGCAUCAUACGCCGUGGUGCUGCCGGCCGGCCGGACGGGAUCACGCAUCUGCACCGUACUGGAUUGGCACGUAAAUAAAAAUAUGGUCGUAUAGCACCAUGAUCAAGGGGCAGCGCCGCUGCUUUCCUGUAGCUGCGUGCUAGCGGAUCGAUCGCCGCCUCCGCCUGGGCGUUCGACCUCGUUCCGGUGGACGACGGGGUCUUUUAUCGCCUUAGCAAGUUUAGCUGGUUCAACCACUUAAAAAUCUUUAGUCAGCUAAAGUUUAUCCUUAGGGGGUGUUUGGGAAACCCCUGUUAAAGUUUAACACCUGUCACAUCGGAUGUUUGGAUGCUAAUUAGGAGUACUAAACAUAAGCUAAUUACAAAACUAAUUGCACAGAUGGAGUAUAAUUCGCGAGACGAAUCUAUUAAGCCUAAUUAGUCCAUGAUUUGACAAUGUGGUGCUACAGUAACCAUUUGCUAAUGAUGGAUUAAUUAGGCUUAAUAGAUUCGUCUCGCGAAUUAGCACAAGGUUCUGCAAUUAGUUUUAUAAUUAGCUCAUAUUUAGUCCUCCUAAUUAGCAUCCGAACAUCCGAUGUGACACUGUUAAAGUUUAGCACCUCAUAUCCAAACAGCCCCUUAGCUGCUACGGUGGAUCGCCUUUGUUGCGCCGCUAGCUAGCUAUAGUGAUUUUGGUGUACUGUAGAUUCGGAGUACAAUAUACUCCCGUUGAGAGAGAGAAAAGAGAUGUGGCCGACAGGUUUUCAGUUUUCACCUGUCACCUCUGUAAGGAGAAGCGAAAGCUGGCCUGCGUGCUCCCUAUAAACCUAGCACUAGAGUACCUGCACGAGAUACAGUACGUACUAAUAUGGCGGUGCAAUCAUAUCUUUGUGGACAUUUCGCAACUGUCUCUGCAAAAAUGAACAGGAGAGACAGUGCAGGAGGGGAGAGAAGAGAACCCUCUCCAUUCUAUUCUUCUUUUUUCUAAGGUUCACUGGUGAUUUUCAUAAGAUUAUCUCAGGUGGAGGCAUUAGGCCCACCGUACCAUGGGCCACUUGCCACUCACCCUUUUGGGCCGGACUCGAACACCGCGCUAGCUAAGUUCCUUGUAAUUUUGUCUCUGUUUUGCUAAUAUAAAACAUUACUCUUAAAUCAACCUGUCAAACGAUUUGUGAGUCGUCUGCAAGUCAAGUGGUACACGAACUGUACGCUCGUGGCUUGUAAAGUUUUGCGUUUGCUGACGUGUAGUGCAUGUAUGGAAAUCUCAAGCUGUCAGCCGCGCGUGCAUGCUCCCUCCAACUAGGAAAUGAACAACUAGAUCAGUUCCAAAGUUAGUGUAUAGUAGGAUGCGCGCAUCACACGUUAAGUACUUAAUUGCAUCAUGAUAGUUCAAAAACAUAUCCAGUGGUGGUGUAAUCUAUUCGCAUGGAUCGUGUGCUCAUGUGGUUUUUAAAGUGGGCAGGGCAUUACAGCAACAUCAAAGCUUCUUGAUCGGGUAAACUAACCAAGGUGUGCGUAGGCCGCACGUGGUGAUUUGAACAGUUUCGAAACAUGAUAGAUAGAGACGUGGACGCUUUACAUGUGCAUGCCGGCAAAGAUACAGGACUAGUGGGUCUUUUAGAUUGUCAGGGUGCUUGAUACACCUCACUAAAGUUUAGCACCUAUCAUAUCGGAUAUUUUUUAUACUAAUUAGAGUAUUAAACAUAGAUUAAUUACAAAAUUAAUUGCACAGAUGGAGUCUAAUUCGCGAGACGAAUCUAUUAAGCCUAAUUAGACCAUGAUUUGACAAUGUGGUGCUACAGUAACCAUUUGCUAAUAAUGAAUUAAUUAGACUUAAUAGAUUCGUCUCGCCAAAUUAACACAGGGUUCCGCAAUUAGUUUUAUAAUUAGCUCAUGUUUAAUCUUUCUAAUUAGCAUCCGAACAUUCGAUAUGAUACUGCUAAAAUUUAGCACCUAGUAUCCAAACACCCCCUCAAAGUCACCACAGGCGUACAGUUAGUUCCCGGUAGAUAUAUCACAUUCGAAUAAAAUAAUAAUUACCAAAAAUAUAUGAACACCCGUGUUGAUCAAGCAAGGUUCAUCCCAAGGCACCAGAAAACAACCGACCUAUUCUUAUACCACCAUAAUAUAUUAGAAUUUUUCCCCAAAGGGUUGGAGUGUCAAUUUGGAGCACUCGUCCCCAUCAGAAAGAGGAAAUAAGAUCAAGCAUGCGCGUAGAGUCUUGUUUGGCUCUUGGAGGAUAAUCCUAGCCUGGCGGCGAGACUGUGUCCAGUGCCACAACUCGCCACACGUGCUGGACCCACCAAAUACUAGCACGAUUCUAGUUCAUGAUUAGGGGCCACGGUAUGCCAUAAGAUCAUGAUGGGGUUACGAUACGUGCCAUGGAAAGUUUCCCAGCGUCUAUUCUUUGAGAUUUAUAUUACUAGUUUGUCAACUCGUGCUUCCACACAGGCUAAUAAUUAAUUUUUAAAACUAUAGUUAUUUAAAAUUAAAUUAUCCAGUUAAUAAUCAAAAUUAUUUAUAUGUGACUCAUUUAUUUAUUGAUAAUUAAACUUUUUCCUCAUAUUUGUACUUUUUUCACCUUUACAAUGCAGCUCCAUACGUUGCAUUUAACAUUGAAAAUUAGAAUUUUUCAACGCUACCUCCCAUGCAUGUGUAUAAAUAGUCUACACAGUGACACACAUCAUGUAUAUAUACAGUAACUUAGUAUUUCUAUAUUAACAAUGAUAAAAAUAGAUAAUGUAGAAUUAUAUAUUUUUUCUUUUGGAUAUUUCUUCACAAUGAACAUGCAAAUAAUUAGAUUAAAAUUUAGGUGCUUACUUUAGUUAUUUUAAUUGUGGGUAAUUUAGAUACAACUUAUAAAAAUAUUUUAAGUUAUUUUAUGAUGAUAUGUAUGGAUAACUUAGAUGAAUAUUAUGGUUUACUGUAAGUUAAUUUUUUAUAUUGCGAAGGUGGGUAGUUUAGAUAUUGGUUUAGGUUUUAUUAUAUUUUUUUAAAAAAAAUUCCACAUAUGUUAUUAUGAAAAUUACCCAUCUAUGCCAUUAGAAUAUCUUCACAAUGAUAUUGCUGGGUAAUUUUUUGAAAAUAUAAUAGAUCGAUGGCUAUGAUUAUUAGAUUCUAGGGGACUGAUGCCCAGAUGUUUUUUUAUUUUGUUAGAAUUUCAUAGCACGUCUUGCGAAAAAUUAAGGGAACAUAGCUUACUAUCAAAAUUGUUACUUUGAACUCUCUCUCAUUUGUUAAAUAUGCUAACACAAUACUUAUACAACCGAUUGUGAUAGACUUUAGUUAGUAAUUACUUUACAACUUUUUCAUACACAUUUAGAACCUUUCUUGUUUUUCAGCUUGCAUCGCAUGUAUGUGCAUGAAUUUAUUUAAUGAAUUCUAUGUUUGAGCUAGAUUUUAACAUCAUAUGUGUAUACCUUAUUAUUAUUUUUAUAUCAAUAGUGUAAGAAAUAGACAAUUUAAAAUUAUAUAUUGAUGUACCUCUGGACAUAUUUAAUGAGGAUGAUUGGAUUCAAAUUUUUAAUAAUGGCAUAUGUGAGUAUAAUGUAGUGGUGGGUAAUUUAGAUGCAAAUUUAGGGGGUUAUUUGAAAUUAUUUUUUGUAGUCGUAUAUUUGGGGAAUUUGGAUGAAGAUUAGGGGGUUACCUUAAUUUAUUUUAUAUAAUGGCAUAAGUGGGUAAUUUAGAUAUAGAUUUAGUGGGUUACUUGUGGGUAACUUUUUUUAGAAAAUAUAAUAGAUCCAAGGGCUAUGAUGAUUGAGCCUACCAAAAUGAUAGCUAAAUAUUUUUUUUAGAGAAUUUUUAGGAUUUCUCUCUUUUUCUAGAGUGUCCACCUAAGUUUUCUAGGUGGCUUCAUGUGGAGACUUCAAAAGAAGCCUCCAAUUAGUAAUAGUAAGAUAACCACAAUGCUCGAAUGUCAUUUCUGAUAAAAAAUGCCACACGUCAUUUCUGAUAAAAAUGCCACACGAAGCUUGAAUUCACUGCCUAAUUCCUCUUUCUUUUUAUAUUUUACUACUCGAUGGUGAUGUUGCGUUUUAUUUCUCAUUCACUGCCCCACUUUGCUAAUAAUCAGAAGGAAGGAAAGUUUAACCUUUUAUAUUUAUCAAUUGGUUUAUUUUUAGGUUGUAACCGUAGCUUUUGCGUUCAGGGCUUUAUUUCUCAUUCACAGACGUUUGCUUGCAAAGACUAGCAGGCCUUUAUUUCGGUGAUCAGUGUGCUGCUGUGGCUGCGGGUACAGGACGGGAAAGAAACGGCAAAGGUUGUUGCGACGUGACACCGUGUGGAAUUACGUCCCCUCGCCAUAAUUUCCUCGUAGAACUUGCCAAAGGUGUUCUUUACGGAUCACUUUUGUGUUUCCAAAUUCCACUCAAGUGUCUUGAAAUGAUUUUCUUUUUUGAAAUGACUGCCACUUGGGAUUUCAGGUGGUGCGAAAAAGCCGCUUGCAAAAUUUGCAAGCCAUGUAAAGCCACCUGUUGUAUUUUCCCUUUUGGAGUCAUGGCGAAGGCUCAUUUCUGCUAGAUACAUACAUGCAAUAAUAUUUAAAUAAAUUAUAGGGUAGCCAGAGAUGUAAAAAACUAUUGUAAGAGAGAGUUUUUCGGAUUCCAUAGUCAAGUUAGUUAUUAGUGAGACUAGUGUUUAUGGCACCAAAGCUCGAUGUUUUCCGCUAUUUCAAAACAAUGCAAAAAUACUUAGACCAUGCAAUUAUUAAUUUUUACCCAUAAUAUUAUUUUCAUAACAAGGACUAACUUGCCGAUCAUGGAAUUAUAUGUUCUACCAUAAAUUUUCUGUACUUUUUCACAAGCAUGUGGAUCCGAUUAUCAUUGAAUUUAGACAACACAAUUCCGAAUUGACGCCUCCGAGAGGAAACCGUGUCGCAACCGAACCAACCGAUGCAAGGUUCCAUUGUAGCCCUACAUAUCAUCUUGUGGUCGAAGAGCUGGCUAGCAUUCGCCGUCGCCGUCUUCCCCUCCGCUCUCUCGCUCUAGUACCAACAGUCCCAACACCUUAUCUCCGCGCAUGAGAUGUCGAGGGGGUGAUCGUGAAGGAUGCCGAUGGCGCCCGAUUUGGCCCCGGUCGCAUGCUGUCGUGGCGCGGCGGCGUCACCAGCCACAGUGCCUGUUGCCUAGUGCCUAGCAUACUGACGGCGACGGAAAACGUGCGCCGCGUGUUGCUCCGCCACUGGCUCACGGUGGUAGCACGCCUGCGUGGGCCCUCACGAGCAGUGGCGCUAGCUCUCUGUCUGAUGGGGCCUCCGUUGCACACUUGCACGAGCAAGAAAUCCAAAAGUUGAUUCGAGCCAACACACAAAUGCAAUGCAAGCGCACCACUCUCUCUUCCUCCGGCACCAAUGACGAUAUCAGCCGUCCAUGCCUGCCGGCUCCUCCCAUAGAGGCUAGAGCCUUCACCAACUGCACUAUAUGCAAUUCCUUAGGGGGUGUUGGAACCCCAGACUAAACUUUAGCUCCUGUCACAUCGAAUGUUUGACACUAAUUAGAAAUAUUAAACAUAAACUAAUUACAAAACUAAUUUCACAACCCUAGGCUAAAUCGCGAGACGAAUCUAUUAAGCCUAAUUAGUUCAUGAUUUGAUAAUAUGGUGUUACAGUAAACAUUCGCUAAUGAUGGAUUAAUUAGGCUUAAUAGAUUCGUCUCGCGAUUUAGCCUAGGGGUUCUACAAUUAGUUUUGUAAUUAGCUCAUGUUUAGUCCUCCUAAUUAGCAUCCAAAUAUCCGAUGUGACACGGACUAAACUUUAGCUCUAGGAUCCAAACACCCCAUUCAUUUAACUCGGCCGAUAAUCAAGAACAAACUUAGGGGGCGUUUUCUUCCUGUGUCUUAUUUUUAGCACGUGUCACAUCGAAUGUUUAGAUACUAAUUAGGAGUAUUAAACGUAGACUAUUUACAAAACCAAUUACAUAAGUGGAAUCUAAACGGCGAGACGAAUCUAUUAAGCCUAAUUAAGCCUAAUUAAUCCAUCAUUAGCAAAUGUUUACUGUAGCAACACAUUGUCAAAUCAUGGACUAAUUAGGCUUAAUAGAUUCGUCUUGCUGUUUAGAUUCGUCUUAUGUAAUGGGUUUUGUAAAUAGUCUGCGUUUAAUACUACUAAUUAGUAUCUAAACAUUCGAUGUGACGGGUGCUAAAAAUAAGUCAGUGGAGGAAAACGGGACCUUAUUGUUUGGAACAUGUCGCUACGUAAUGUGAAAGCAUUUGAAAUGUGAAUCUAAUUGCAUGACUUUUAUAUACAAAAAAAUACUUAUAAUGUGACUAGUCGUUGAACAGUUUUUUUAAGGAAAAAAAAUAAUAUGCACUUUUGCGUACGGGUUACUUGUCUAGCGAACACACAGGUUCCGGAACAAGCACUAUAAAACUACAGAAUCCACACAUUCAAGAUUUAUGCUGGCCAUCUUACUGAAAGAAAUUUCAACUUGGUUGAGAUGAACAGCUGUAAAAAUUACAGUGCAGGCCCCUUCUUUUAGAACACAUGCCGUCCCCAAAAAACGGUGGCAUGCAACCCAUUCUCAUAAUUCAUGUGGAUUUUUUGCAUGGCAAAAAGGAGGUCCUGUUGAGUUUGACAUAUGCUAAAAUUUCUGCUGGUAGCCGUUACAAAGCCGUAAAACCAUAAACACUGGCCUGCUGGCUUGCUGCAAGAGAGAGAGACAGGGAGGGGAAAUGUGGUCAGAGGAGGAGAAAGAACAAAUGCAGUCAACAGGUGGUGGUACAGUGCCCCUUUUACCUCCGGAAAAGGAGCAAAGUUGGCUGGCUGGCUAUUAUUAGGGUAUGUUUGAGUCGAGUGCUAAUGGGUGAAAGUGCUAAAGUUUAGCACCUUUAUACAUUAGCCUAUCCAAAUAGGGAGGUUAAUGGGGAGGGCUGAAUUUUAGUCCACCUCUAAAAAAUGCAAAAGCAUUAGCUCAUGGUAACGAGCUAAUGGGUGCUAAUAGGCACUUGGAACUUAUACUCCUGCCUCAACCUUAUCCAUCCCACGAUUCGUCUCCUCCCUUAUUGAUGCCGCCGAUGGUGUGGCGCCCUUCGUCCUCCCCUCGCACACACCAACGUCACUUGCUUCUCCCCGCCUUUAUUCGCGUCGCAGUGCCCUCCCUCUUCCCCUCACGAGCCACUGCUGUCGCUUGCUCCCCCGCCCACCGCCGCUUCUCUCGCUAUCCCCGGCCGUUCGCGCUCGAUCUACGACUCCGCUGUCCCUCCCCCGCUCCCGCGCUCCACUCCACCGCCGUCUUGCCUAGUUCGCCGUCGUCGGAGAUGGAAAAAAGCACGGGAAGGGACCAGGGAGGCAAAAGCAGGGGCAAAAAAGGACUUUCCUCAAUAAGCUAACUUUACAUUAACACUGGAUCCAGCGUCUCUACCCAUUAGCCAGCUAAAGUUUAGCACUAGGCCUGUUUUCUUCCACUUGCUAAACUUUAGCACCCGUCACAUCAAAUGUUUAGAUACUAAUUAGAAGUAUUAAACGUAGACUAUUUACAAAACCCAUUACAUAAGACGAAUCUAAACGGCGAGACGAAUCUAUUAAGCCUAAUUAGUCCAUGAUUUGACAAUGUGUUGCUACAGUAAAUAUUUGCUAAUGAUAGAUUAAUUAGGCUUAAUAGAUUCGUCUCGCUGUUUAGAUUCCACCUAUGUAAUUGGUUUUGUACAUAGUCUACGUUUACUACUCCUAAUUAGUAUCUAAACAUUCGAUGUGACACGUGCUAAAAAUAAGACACGGGAAGAAAACGCCCCCUUAGACUUUUUUAACAUAGUCUGACAAGGAAAAAAAACGAGUAGCAUCAGAGACCGGCAGGCCUCCCCUACCUAUAGUCCUGUUCGUACUUCACCUGCACAAGAAUACGGUAGCGCAAUCAUUUCCCGGCGGACAUUUCACAAGAAGAACACUGAACACAUACACAGGAGAGAUGUUCACUUCGGGUUCUCCUCUCCCAAAAUAUUUGUCUCUGGUUUCUGCUUUCUGCUCUACUCCGUACACCCUACUCCUACACAGUACUCUCUCUCUCUCUCUCUCUCUCUCUCUCUCUCACGAGAGCAUAUCAGUGUGCAGAGAUACGAGUAGCAGCCAGCAGGAGCAACACAGUUUGCAGUGUUUCAAAAGUCGUCCUUUCGAAAUGGGACUGAUCAGAGCCAGCAGGAGUAACCGGUUCUCAGUGCUCCCUCUUAUCUCUACAUUUUGAUUCUUCCUAUUGAUUAAUUUAAUCUGGACUUUUUUAGGGAAAUUUGGAAAUGGAAGUUUAGUGGAAGCGAACAAUCUCUCAUCAGGGCACAUGAAAAAAAGCCCUACAUUUUCAUUCAUUUUUGUGUGGUUCUUCCUCCUUGACUCAGCUAUCAAAAGAGGACUACCUUUGGUUUUGAGAGGUACAUUUUAUUCUACCCACACGCAUGCAAUUCAUCACAUGAGAUAAUUCCACAAAUGGCCCCCUUCAUCAUGCCCUGUCUCGGUUCAGUGCUCCUCCUCUCCACACUCAGCAGUCGCCACUCAACUCUAGCCGCCCAUGCAUGAACAAAGAAAGCCAGCCAUCUCCUUCAGCUCGCUCGGUUUCUAGCAAAAGUCAAACGCAGCAAGCAUUCCACUUCCUGACAUGCAACUCGAUCUCUCUGCACCGGCACUAGCAGCAUUAAGGUUUCUUCCAUGAUAUCAUACUGCAACUUUGAUCUCAUUUUUGGCCAUGCAGAUUUCCUCCCUCUCUUAUUUAAUUCAGUUGGCAACUACUACUAGCAAACAGUCAUGUUUUCCCUCAGGUUGCAAGAGGGAUUAAACAAGUGGUAAAGCCUAAGAGCAUGUGUGCUAGUGCUGAGCUUAUCUUCUCUUAUCUCCUCCAUGCUUUCGCCCUCUUCUCAACCCCACAUGCUCCCUCUCAGAUGUCACAUUCUCUUGCCUUGAUCGUGUGCUAAAGUGAGCGACUCCAUCCAUUAUCUUUCCUGGGAAAAAAGGGAAAAGAAAAUCCCUACACCCAUUUGCAAAUUCAUCGACUGGGAGACUUGCUUCCGUUUGCCUUGCCUUCCCUCCCUGGCCUCUGCCCGUUCCAGUGCAGUGCCUCAUCCUCCCCUGAUGCUUUUCCUGCAGUGACGAACAAGAAAAAUUCAGGAGAGAAAGAGCAGAGAGAGAGAGAGUUGAAAGGGAGUCCACUUUCGGUCGCAGCGUCUGCACGGCGCUGCUGCGACCGAAUCACUUGCCUUUCUGCUCGCUCAGUCCUCUCUCAAAACCUUGUCCCAUCUGGCAAGCAGAAGCAGGCUUUCCUUUCUCCCUCCUUGCCUCCUUGGCCUUUCCGGUCUCUGCACUGCAGCCUCCUGCCUGCUCCUCGGGCGCAGCGUCCAGCUGGUGCUGUAGCUCCACCUCCACUGCUGCGAGGUCUCUGCCCUGUCACUCCUCGAGUCCUCGACCUCGCAGCAGCCUCCUCCCCUUCCUGUCACCUAUCCGGCCGCCCGUCCGUCCCCUAUCCCACCUAUAUAUGCCAGCUUGCUCUGCCUCCCUGAGCCAGUGUGUGUGCGCUGUGUGCUUCGUUUCAGCGACUUGACUGAACUGUUGGAGCACAGCGCAGCCUCGUGCACAGGGUAGACAGGAGGAGACGGGGAAGGGGGGCGAGGUUGUGAGGAGGGAGAUGGCUUGGAAUGGCGGCUUCGGCGACGACGAGGAGGGGAGGGGCCUGGAGCUCAGCCUGGGCCUCCCGGGCUACUUCUCCAGGUCGCCGUGCCAGGCCGCAGGUGCCGCCUCCUGCCUCUCUCUUCUUGCUCGUAUCAUUGUGCGGUUCUUUGCCUGAUCGGUGUGUGCUCUGUGUCGGUUUCAGGUUUGGAGGAGAAGGGAAGCGCCGGCUCUGCUGCUGCUGGUGCUGCUCGAGCCCCAAAGGGAAGCAAUGGUUCCAAGGCGAGGUAAUAACCGUUGAUGAACCUGUACCCUUUCUAUUCCUGAAAAGAAAUCCGAUCCGGAGAAAGGAUCUUGCUCCUUGAAGCAUUUGUGCCUGAAGCGCACAGUAAAAUUCUCAUCUUUGAUCGUUCAAAUAAAAAAAACUCAUCUUUGCAACUUGAUACGAUUCUCUGUUCAGAAAAUCAGAAGUUCCUGUUUUUUUUCCCCCUUUCUGUUUCUUCUGUUUUUAUGCCGCGACCAUUGUCUGAACUGCCUGAAUUCUGCAGGGCGGCGGCAGCUGCUCCGGUCGUCGGAUGGCCGCCGGUGCGCGCAUUCCGGCGGAACCUCGCCUCGUCGUCCUCCAAGCCGGCGUCCCACGAGCCAUCGAGCCAGAGGGGCAGUGACUCCACCACAGGCGCCGCCAAGGCCAUCGAGGCCGGCAAGAAGGGGCUGUUCGUCAAGAUCAACAUGGACGGCGUCCCCAUCGGCCGGAAGGUUGACCUCAGGGCGCACGCCGGCUACGACACGCUCUCCGCCGCCGUCGACCACCUCUUCCGCGGCCUCCUCGCCGGUACGUGCAUUCCGAUUCUCGAAAUCGAUCUGUGUGACUUACUUCUCUGAUCCUGGUGUUUGCCGGUGCAAGAAACCUCUGAACUUACGAUCUCUGAAUUCUCUGGCAGCUCAAACAUCAGGAGGGGAGCAGGAGGUGAUCACAGGGGUCUUGAACGGCAGCGGCGAGUACACACUGGUCUACGAGGACGAGGAGGGCGACCAGAUGCUAGUCGGAGACGUGCCGUGGGAGUGAGUUCAAUCUUCUCCUCCUCAUCUUCACAUGAUUUUCUUUUAAAUUGCAGCUGGGCAAGUGUCUUUCUGACUUUCAACUGACCAACGGCUUUGUUUUCAGGAUGUUCAUCGGCACCGCGAGGCGUCUGCGCGUGCUGAGGAGCUCCGACCUGAGCCCGUCCUCGGUCAGUCACCCCUGCCGCGCUGAAUCCAAUUCGUGCUACUAAAUUGUGGCCUGGAAAUGUUUUCCAGAUGUUGGUCUGAUCCUUUGCUUACCUGUUCUUGUUUUGCAGCUACGAGCAGCGAGCAGGAAGAGAGCAGCAGCUGAGUGCUGAACUCUGGUGCCUCUGAACAUGCUGCAGCUUUUGCUCUAGCCGUCUGUGUAAAUCUUCAAGCAGUUUCUUCGAUCUUAGUAGUCUGGUUACCAUGCUAUUAUCGAUUAGGGAAGCAAGAACCGAGAGUUGAUCGGUGUUGUUUAGAAUCAUGUCAGAACUUAUUUUGUACGGGAAGUUUGGCUGUGCUCAAGGGAGGUGUCUGUUCAUCAUCUUGUCUGAAAUUUUCAAAGAGGGGUGUCUCCUGGCACCUAUGCAGCACCGAUACAGAUACGCGUAUCAGCAUCGGCCUGAUACGGAUACGCGGAUACGCCACUUUUCUGCGAAAGUUAAAGGCACCCAGGCGUAUCUGAUACGGAUACAUGGAUAUGUAUCGGAUACGUAAUACGGGGUCAUGUUGAAGUAUCGGGGUAACAUAGCUUGGCACUGCAGCCAUGAGCUCGCUAGUACCCAUGCAAGCACACUGAUAUUGCUUGCUUUGGCUGCUUCAUGUUCGUUUCUGUUGAAUGCUGAUCGCUUAGUGCUUCAUUGGUUAACAAGAUGCUUAAGCUAGAGCACGCAGAGAAACCACACCGAGGGAAAAAAAAAACAGCACCUCCAAGACAGCAAGACAUAGUUGCCGUUGCCCAACACUACAUGAGUUCACCCCGGAAAAAGGCGCUAGCAGAGAUAUUCGUUCACUUCAUUCUCAUUUGCCUGAUUUCAAGCGAUGCAAGAAUUAAGCACAAGUCGUACUGUAAUAAGAUAUCAGGCACCUAAACAAGUGCAAUUGCAUUCCUCGCAAAAAAAAAGAGUUGCAAUUACAUCACGAGGAAUGAACACUGAUGCUGAACUGCACAGCAACUCUACUACUGUAUAUGCCUAAAAGAUCAUGUCUGAAUUCUAAGUUUAUUCCACAAGUAUGCAGUAUAUAUGAUUCUGAAUUAUACAAAAGAUGAGCUCUGAUCAGUCAUUGAAAUUGUUCGCGCAAUAACAGGCCGGCCAUUCCUCUGGACCAAAUAGGCCUUCCCCUAAAGCCCAUCGAUGGCCCCCAAAAAAAAUCUCCAAAACGAAAGCCCAGCACGAUAUUGGCGCCGCCGCCCGCCCUUCUUUCUUCUCCCCCAAUCCAACCCCAACCUCUCUGCUGGCUGCUGUGCUUCAACUCCAAUUCGGAUCCAAAAAACAAAAGAAAAAGGAAACAAAAAACAGAAGCGCGGGAAGGAGCUUCGCCGCUCGCCGCUGUCGCAUCGCCUCCAAACUCAAACCAUCAGGUGCGCGCGCAAUCGGACGCCCCUCUGUGUUCCCCACCCCUUCCAGUCUCUCCACGCCGCAAAUCGGGGCGGGAUUUCUAGGGUUUUUCCUUGAGAUGCGAUUUGUUUUCGUUUCCCCCCCGGUGAAGAACGCAUCUGCGGCUCGUUGAUCCCCGCCGCUUCGAUCUUUAGCGCGCGGCCCACUUGAUUGGCGUGGGGGAGUGACUAGCGCGAAGCCGGGUGAGAUUGGGAUGGAAGGAAGGAUAGGCUGGGGUUUUUUUUGGGGCUAAUCUGUUGGCGACCACCCCUGCCGAUUUGGCGUGAUCUUGAUCUGUCGUGGUGCCGUUGCGGUGCAGGAUGAUGGAUCUCCCGGCGAAGGGCGGGUUCAGCUUCGACCUGUGCCGGCGGAACGACUCUCUGGAGAAGAACGGGCUCAAGAUCCCCGGUUUCCUCAAGACUGGGACCACCAUCGUCGGCCUCGUCUUCCAGGUGCGGCCGCAUUCACUUUGCUGGUAUUCUGGAUUUAGUAGUGUGCCUUCUGCUGGUUUGAGCUACCUGUGUUUGAGAAUUUGAUAGGCAUGAACCUAUUACUGUCGGUUCUAAUGUUAGUUGGCUUGGAGAAUUAUUUUUGGGGCACUGAACAGCUCAAUUGAACUUUGGAAAAUCUCUGACAUUUUGUGUUAGCCUCCUUAUGCUGUUAUGCACAUACCCACAUUGUGGUAUGAUACGAGUUGGGAAAAUAUUCGGUGCAAACCACCUGCCUAGUGGAACUGUGCAAACCCCCAUCUCUUUUGUAAUGUUUGUUUCGUAGUCUUCUAGUUGUAUUAGCUCAGGGGGAAAGGUAUACAUACACAAAAAAAUACUACUGCAGAAAUACUCUGCAAAUGAUGCUCUGGCAAUAUCUAAUUGAAUAUUGAUUUGUGUUAACUUGUGUUUGGAUAAAUUUAAUGGAUGAUAGUUUUACCUUGACACUUUUGUAGCCCAGUGCUAAUGGAUGAAAGACAUCACAUUCAUGUAACCUGUUUGAACAGGCAUUGUUUCAUAUUGCUGUAUUGAGGUUAACAUGGACUAAACCAUAUUUUGAUAUCUAGGAUGGGGUUGUGCUUGGGGCAGACACAAGGGCAACUGAGGGGCCUAUAGUUGCUGAUAAGAAUUGUGAGAAAAUCCACUUUAUGGCGCCAAACAUAUAUUGCUGUGGAGCAGGAACUGCUGCUGACACAGAGGCUGUUACAGGUAAAUGACUAAAAAGACUGGCAUUCUGCCUUUUCCAACUCCCUUUUUUCCCCUUGAAUUCCUUCUGGCAUGUUGCUUCUUUACUUCAGAUAUGGUGAGCUCCCAGCUGCAACUUCACCGAUACGCAACUGGUCGUGAAUCAAGAGUUGUGACUUCUCUUACACUGCUGAAGUCACACCUUUUCAAGUGAGCUCCAAUUUCGCAGGCACAUUUACAACUUUCUGUCAUCCUGUCAACAGCUGACCUGCUUGCACCAUUAUGUUUAGGUAUCAAGGUCAUGUCAGUGCUGCUCUUGUUCUUGGUGGAGUGGAUUGUACUGGGCCACAUCUACACACUGUGAGUAACUGAGUAUCACUGUUUGUUGCUUAUUGUAAUAAAGUUGGGGUGUUUAAAUUAACUUUGGAAAGUGCAGGUUUAUCCGCAUGGCUCCACAGAUACUCUUCCUUUUGCCACGAUGGGUUCUGGAUCGCUCGCUGCAAUGUCGGUGUUUGAAUCGAAGUACAAAGAAGGGCUUACAGUAAGUGAACCCAUGCAACAGUUGCUGGAUUUAACUAUGUUGACAAUAUAGUAUUUUUUCUGUGGUGACUGAAAUCGCAUUUGAUUGUGCUUUUCUAAUUAACGAAACUAUAUUAAUAUUAUAGUAGUUUAUUGUUUUAUGUUUGCAUUGACUAAUUCCCUUUUAUCUUCUAGAGGGAGGAGGGAAUACAACUUGUAUGCGAUGCAAUCCGUGGCGGUAUCUUCAAUGACUUGGGUAGUGGCAGCAACGUGGAUGUCUGUGUGAUAACUAAGGUAUGCAUUACAUUUUCUGUUUCAUUGACUCAAAUGCUGAAACACUGCAAAUUUGAAAAAAAUAUCAAAACAUAAUUUACUGUUUACUUAUUAGAGGAUGAGCUUUCAAACUAUCUUUACGGCAUUGUAUUUUCUACUUUGAUUUGAUAUAUCGCUUGCACAUGGUUUGAUUCACACCUCUUCUGAUCAUCAAUUUCCGAUAAUGCUCAUUUGAGUAAAACUAUAACACUGCAUUGUGCAUGCUACCAUAUGCCACAGAUGCCUUUUGAGCAAAUCAAAGAACAUGAAAUAUUUCCUGUUAACCCUUCAAAAUGCUUUGCUGACCAAACCCUAUUGACAAUACCAGGGGAAGACAGAAUACUUGAGAAACCACCAGUUGCCGAAUCCAAGAACUUAUGUUAGUUCGAAGGGAUACAGCUUCACCAAGGGGCAGACUGGUGAGUUCCUUGCUGAUGAAUGGUACAGAAUAUAUGACAUCUGAACAGUAUAAAGUUACGCAUAAUUAUAUUCGUUUGCAGAGGUACUGUCCACAAAGAUCACACAGCUGAAACAGAAGGUUGAGGUCGCUGAGGGCAGCGACGCAAUGGAGGAGUGAUCUUGCAUGUUACGUUCGGACAAGUGGUCAUACUCAUAAAUUUACGUUAUCUUUCUUAGUGGGACUGCUAGAACCAGAAAAGAAUGGAUAUCCUUGCUGUAUUUUCUGGACUGAAUCCAGACUUUUUAUGCUAAAGGUGUUUCAGAUGUUGACAUAUUUACAAGUGCUUGUUGACUCUGAAUGUAGCAUUGUUUAAAACUGUGAUGGUUUGGACGUAUGGUGUUUUCUUUCAGUCGGUUAUUACUGCUGCUGCGCUGCAUCUAUUGUUAGGUUCACGAUGAGGGAAAGGUUGGUGCUGCAAGCAUAUUUGGCCCUGAGCCCCUGAACUUGAUUGUAUUAAGAGGACACUACAAAAAUCAUGAUUGAUGUAGUGGUUUCACUAUUUGGCCCUGAGCCCCUGAAUUGUUCAUAUAACUUUGAAUGUUAUCUACUGAAUGGAAAAAUUGAACAAGUAAUCAGUUGAAAUUAAUUGCUUUAUGACUAUGGUCACGCAGUAUCCAACAUCAUCAAAUCAAGCAUCACGCAGAAGUGCAGGAUGUGCUGCUGUUUUUUUGCAGCUUUGGGGCUCCGCUGUGAGCAAAGGGGAAAAAAAAUGGUAACUGAAAAGAAAAAGGAGCUUGUCAGACAACCUGUGAGCCACCCCAGCCAGGCGGGCCCAGCCGAGAACGAUCCUCCACAGCUCCAGACAGGGCUUCACCGCCCAAAUUCCUAGCCGUUAAUCACGCUCUGGCCCACAGGGCCUGUGUCAUCAACCAAGCUUAAGUGCUUGCCUCCUUAUUAGUCAAGGAUGCAGCGGUACGAUCCUAUAGAACAGAUCCUGUUCAAGUAAGGUCGUGCUGCAUCCCGCG
This 46649-nucleotide long non-coding RNA is filed under the name Setaria italica (foxtail millet). Its description in RNAcentral is "long non-coding RNA (SITA_LNC001902)". Lineage: Eukaryota; Viridiplantae; Streptophyta; Magnoliopsida; Poales; Poaceae. The record is from RNAcentral.